This 66012-nucleotide long non-coding RNA is filed under the name Olea europaea (common olive). Its description in RNAcentral is "long non-coding RNA (OEUR_LNC014643)". The record is from RNAcentral. Lineage: Eukaryota; Viridiplantae; Streptophyta; Magnoliopsida; Lamiales; Oleaceae.
CUGUUUCUCAAAUAUAUAAUAAGAAAAAUUUGUUGAUUGAAAUUUUGAGCUCAAUGAGUAACAGUAAGAGGGAUACAUACAUGAAAAAGGAGGAAGAAAGCUUGGUUGAAGAUCUUUACAAAAACUUAAAAGGAAGGCGAUACCUCAUUGUGGUAGAUGAUAUAUGGGAUAUCAUUGUGUGGAGUGAUUUGAAAAGAUGUUUUCCAGAUGACGGAAUUGGAAGCAGAAUCUUAUUCACUACUCGAAAUAAAGAAGUGAGUUUGAAAGCUUCACCUCGUAGUGUCAUAAAUGAACUUCCUUUUCUGUCGGAAGUUGAGUGUUGGGAAAUAUUACAAGGGAAAGUGUUCCAAGAUAGAAAAUGUCCUCAGGAAUUGGUAGACAUUGGCAAGCUAAUUGCAAAAAACUGUCAUGGCCUACCACUUGCAGUGGUCGUAAUAUCUGGAGUUCUUGCAAACAUGGAGAAGAAAAAACACUUGUGGAAAAAAAUUGCAAAAAAUUUAAGUUCACAUAUAUCUGAAAUACCAGAGAAGUGCAUCCAAACAUUGCAACUUAGCUACAACCAUCUACCAAUGCAUUUGAAACCAUGUUUUCUUUACUUAGGAGCAUUCAGAGAAGACACAAAUAUCCCUGUACGAAAGUUGAUAUCUCUCUGGGUUGCCGAAGGAUUUAUAAAGAAGGAAGAACAUAAGAACAUAGAGGACGUGGCACGAGAAUAUCUAAUGAAACUAAUUGAUAGGAGCCUAGUACUCGUUGCUGAAAGAAGAUAUGAUGGAGGAGUCAAAACAUGCAAGAUUCAUGAUCUAUUGCGUGAAAUGUGCUUGAGCAUAGCUGAAGAAAAUAACUUUUUGAAGUUGAUCAAAGAGUAAGUUCAAUGUUUCUCUUCUAUUUCCUUUCCUUUCUGUCCAUUUUUUUUUUUUUUUUUUUUUUUUUAUUAAAAAAAAAAAAAAAAAACAAAAAAUUGUCCAUUUUUUUUUUUUUUUUUUUAGCUUACUAAGAAUGGUUAUUAUAUUUGAUGAUCGUAAACAAUGAUAUGGUUAUGUUGUUUUGUUACCAGUAAUGAUGAUGAUGAACAACGGUUGUUCAGUCAAGUAUCAACGUAUCAGCGGCACCAUCGUCUGAGUAUCAACUGUGCAAAAUAUCCUAGCUCGCUACCUGUUGGCCUACAUGUACGCUCUCUUCUAUUUGAUUUGGAUUUUAUGAGCUCCAUCAAAUUAAUCUCAUGCAGCUACAAAGUUCUUAGGGUCUUUUGUGGAUGGUCACUGUAUGAUUUUCUAAUAGGAUUUGAAUAUCUGGUUCACUUGAGGUACUUGGAAAUUUCAUGUACACUGCCACCAAUGGAAAACUUCCGCAAAUUAGAAUUUCUUGUUGUGUACAAUGAUGAUGAAAUUGAAAUACCUGAGAUCCUUCUUAAUAUGGUGAGUUUGAGACACAUGGAGUUUAACGGUGGUGCAUACUUCAGUGAAUCUAGCCGUCAGCUAGCAACUAACAGUAAGAGCUUCCAAAUAAAUAACCUACAAAGUAUUUCUGCACUCUCAAUUUAUGAUGAAAUGGAUGAGAAAAUUUUGAGAAGUUCACCCAACCUUCGCAGAGUACAAGUUAGCAUUGAGAAUUUAUUAAAUUGUUCCUUCAACUUCCUUUAUCAGCUCGAAUCACUGAAGCUAUCAACAGAAUACAAUACGCUUUAUUGGCGUUCCAGUCUGAUCAGUUUGCCCUUAAAUCUAAAAAAAUUAACUCUAGUUUGUGUAUAUCUGUCUCGAAAACAAAUGGAGAUAAUUGCAAGAUUGCCAUGCCUUGAGGUUCUCAAAUUAGUAUCUGCUGCCUUUGAGGGAGAACAAUGGGACACAAGUGAAAGUGAAUUCCCUCAACUUAAAUACUUGAAACUUUGUGGUGUAAAAAUUGCAGAAUGGAAUGCCUCAAGUGAUAAUUUCCCAAGGCUUCAACGAAUAGUAUUGGAAUAUUGCGAGAAUCUAAAGAUGAUCCCUUCUAAUUUAGGUGAUAUUCCAACAUUACAGAAGAUUGAGUUAUUUAUGUGUGGUCAAACUGCAAAUGAAUCAGCUAAGAAAAUUGAGGAAGAACAAAAGGAGAUGGGGAAUGAAAAGUUUGAAGUCACAAUCUCUAACACAUUCGAUGAUAUUGAAGCCAUUCUCUCACCCAUUUCCCCGCAGGAGAUGAAGGAAUUCUACGGGAGCGAAAUUCAGAAGGUACAAAUGAAGGAGAAUCUCUCCAUUAAUUCUCUUUCACGUUCUCAUCUUAGUGUUGUUAUACUAGAAUGAAACAUCAAAUAAAUUUUUGGCUAAUAUUGAAAUUAAUGGAUUAAAAUCAUAUUUUUAGUAGAUUUUCAUGAAGUUUGAUAAAAUGUGUGAUUAAAAAGUUAAUAAAAGUUACAAGUCUCAUAAAAUGUGUGAUUGAAAAUAAGUUUGGGAAAAAAAUGAGUUACAAAAAAUUGGGGCCAAACAGGAGCUAAGGUUGGCUCUACUCUAUGAGCCUCUUAAUGUCAUUCUAAGAAUUACUAGCCCAUAAGGUUCUAUGUUUUUGGCAUUGAUUCUCUAUUAUUUCAGCUUUUCAUAUUUUUCUACUAUAUAAUCGUGUUUACAUAAAAUCACAAUGAUCACAUUUUCACUUCUAGUUCAAUUAAGUCCUCGAAAGAAUUUGUUUAUUUAGCCUAAGUCGCCCAUUAAUUGCAUAGGCAGUCCUUCAAUGUCCAAACUUGAUACCUUAGUCCUUGAUUCCAAAUUCCAUCUAACUUCCAUCCAUCUUGGUCAAAUAUCGCCCCUUUUUAUUCUUUCUUGUUCAAUACUGAUUUUUUUCCUAAAAUAAUCAAUAAACACACAGAAUUAAGUUUUCUAGCUCAUAGUGAUCUUGCAAAAAAGCUGACUGUGUUGAAAUAAAGGUGUACCCAUUAGUUUACAAGCUUGUAACAUUGGCGUUAAUUCUUUCAGAAGUCCAUUCUCGGUGAUUGAGAUUUUCAAGAAUCGAUUGCAUAAUUGGAAAGGAGAUCAAUGGUUGAGCGACACUUUGAUGGCGUAUAUUGAGAACGAUGCAUUUGCCACUAUUGAUAAUGAUGUAAUUAUACUAUGUUUUCAAUGUAUUAAAAUUUGUAUGCGGCAGUUAUAGUAAUGUAUUGACUUAUUUUCGUUAAUAUAUUGUUUUUUUAGAAAAAAAUUGUAUCUUAAUUUUUGAUCCUACAAUGAAAAUUGUGUGGCUCCGCCAAUGUUAUUAGGCUUGAUUAAAACAAUUAUCUUUGGUGGAAAAAUCAACUUCUGAAUGUUAUAAUGGCUAGUGGAUUAGAGGGUUUUAUUGAUGGUACAUAUACUUUCCCCCCACAGUAAGCAGCACAUAUACUUUCCCCCCACAGUAAGCAGCAUGGCAGAGGUUUAAUAGGCUUGUAACGAGUUUGAUUUACAACUCACUAAGGAAUUAUGGCUUCAGUAGUGAGUGGAUUUGAUUACUGCUGAUGAUAUCUGGACUUCGGGUCGAAAUUUUUAUUAACUUUUCAGAAUUAUGACUUCAAGCUCUUAAUUUCCAAUCUCUUGUUGUUCUUAGUUCUUACAGAAUUUGAUUCACAAAUUCUUAAGAAUGCUUGCUCAGACCCUCUGCCAGAGAACUUUCCCGAUCAAUAAUUUGGUCAGGAGUUCUUGUUUGUCCACCCACCAUCACCAUGUAGUCGGCCAUUUUGCCCUGCACCAAAGAAGCAUACGAAUCAGUUCAAACUCCUUUACCCGAGCAGAGCUCUGUUUUGAGACUUUCGCUGAGGUUUCUCUGUUUUAUUAGAAUCCAAAAUCCAGCAUCCUUCCAUAUUUUCCUCGCAUCUGGGAACCAAAAUAAAGCACGUGCAACAGUGAAAUCUCUAAGUGAUUAACAUAGGAGAAGCCAUUGUAAUUCUUCUUCAAAUAAAGUCAAAAGAUUGUUGGUUAAGGGAUUCCUUCAAAUAUAAUAGAAGAAGAGAGAUGGCAGAUUUUCAUGUAUAUCAAAUUGAAACAGAAAUCUCUACAUAUGGAUGUUAGUACGCCUUUCCAAAGCGUUACAAAUCUAUUCAUGAUUACAAUCCUAUAAUGGUGGCUGCUGGGUUUAUAUAGUACACACAAAAGACGAGGGAAAAGAGAGGCUGGAAGAGAAGAAAAUAAACGGCGGCUGCUGUAGAAGAAAGUUGACUGUGGGUGUGGAUUUGACGCAUGUUUUUUUUUUUUUUUUUUUUUUUUUUUUUUUUAAUUUAGUACAAAUUGUGAAUUGCUCUAAACUAUAUUUUGGGUACUCCAAAGGUGUAGUAUUUCACAAGUUCCAUCAAAGUGAUGGUUAGUGAUGAGAUUAUUUCUUGUCCUUGGAGAUUGAUUAUUGUGGUAUUUUCCAAUUUGUUGACAAUUCAAAUUUUGGGACAUAAACUUAAAUAUUAUAAUCUAUAUUUAUUGUAGUGGAUUUGGCCAGAGUUGCCCCUUGGUUUUUUCAUGUACACUGGAGGGUUUUUUCCACGUAAAAUUUUGGUGUUGCUUUCUCUAGUUUUUUGCUUUGAGUAUUUACUUUCAUAUUUAAUCACUGUAGUUAAUUGCUUGAAUUGUUUAAUUUAUUCUUGCAAUAAAUGAAAUUGUCCAACACCUUGGUCCUUCUCACUUUUCAGAUUGCUGCAUUUUUCAGUAAUUGCUACUUGCUAAACGAUAGGAUAAUCAAUAAUCUGUGAGUUUGUAAUUCCUUUGUUAGCUAAACAUCAUUCCUAAAUUCAUGGACGUGCCGCCGUAUAGCAUUUUCUUUGUAUAUAUUCAAUAAUACUAAAUAAAAAGAUUCAAGCUUCCCUUCUUAAUUUCUGUUCGAAUUUUUAAUUUGCUAUAUAUAUGCAUAUAUUUCCAGAAGCAGCUAAGUUAAUACGAAACAAAUAGAAAAAGAAAAUUUUAUUAUUCAAAAAUCUUUCACCCUAUCUAUCCUCAAAGUUCAAAACAGGAGGGGGUGUUUCUCCUUUUUCAGUAUUAUUAUGCAAUUGACUCUUCGUGUAAAGAGUUGAUAGAACUGAUUGACUCAAAAAGAUAAUAUAUAUGGAGGUACCAACAAUAAAUGACAACGUCAUUAUAGUUGAUGACGUAAAAUAAGUAUAACUUUACUGAAAUAAAUGACGGGCAUCAUUUUUUACCGCUAUAUCAUCGACUUCCAAGUGACAGAAUUAGACUAAGAGCAUCUAAGCAUCUGAAUUCCUGAACCCACCAUUCUUUCAAAAGAUUUUUGAUAGGUCAAGUUUGAAUAAAGUUCAUUUCUAUUCAUCAAAUUAAACUACUAGCUCUAUCACAUUUAUCGACCUUUAGUUCAUUCUUAUAGACAUACUCCAUAAGUAUUAGUUAACAUAGUAGGCCAAAAUUGUAGAUUACGUACUUGUCCAUGUAAAUUGAUUUAUCAUAUGAUCUUUUAAUUGUCCACCUCAACUCCUCCAGUAAUUUGUCUUGAAUGUCCAAUAUUUUAAAAGCAUUAAAGCGUCCUUUGUGAUAUCCAAGUUCGAACAAGUAGCUAUAGACAUGUCUUCGAUGUGAUAUUGAAGUAUUAAGAAAUAAAAUUAAAUUGCUUACAAACUAAUUAGUUCACAUCUACCCUUCUACAAUAUAAAGAUAGCUUAGUUGAGCUUGUAUAGAGAGCACAAGUUUUUUGAAAAAGAUAUUUUUCACAACAUAUUCCAAGUAAUCCAGUUUUGAAGUCAACAAAACUGCAAUAUUGUGAUGUGAUCCAAGAAGCACAAGUAACAAAGUCAAGUCCAGAGUCGAGCCCAAGGAAAGAUCCGUUGAUAGUCGAGGGGCCAAUGAAUCUCAGUCUCAAAGAUGCCAAGUGACAUGGCUCCAAAGACUGGUGUGGUUUCAGUCUUUAUUAUUGAUUCCGUCCUCGAUGAUCUCAUGGAUCUAACAAAUAACAAGUCUAACUCGAUUGUUGUUGUGAAUGAUCAAAUUGCAACGCUCCACGAGGAGCUAAUGUUAUUGGGAUCAUCCAUCACGGCUAUAGUAUUGCAGCACGAAGCAGAACAUGAAGAACUUGUGAUACGGAGCAGAGACAUAGCAUAUGAAGUUGAAUAUGUUAUCAACUCAUUACCUCAUGUUUGGUAUCUUUCUCUCCGGCUCCCUCAACUCAUUGACAAGAUUCGGCUUAUUAUGAUAGCUGUCAAAAAAAUGAAGAACAAUGUUGAUGUAGUUAGAAUGUUAGUUGUCUCAAAACAUCCACAUGAGCUGGUAGAGUCAGAGUCAAAAGAACCUCCCAUUUUGGAAGAAAUUGUUGUGGGAUUUGACAAUGUAACAAUUAAAAUUACAGAACAACUUGUUGGAGGAACAGGCCAGCUGCAAAUUAUUUCCAUCUUUGGGAUGCCUAGACUUGGUAAGACGACCUUGGCAAAUAAAUUAUAUAAUCAUCCCUCCGUUUUACAGCAUUUUGACAAGCGUGCCUGGUGUGUUGUUUCUCAAAUGUAUAAUAAGGAAAAUGUUUUGAUUGAAAUUUUGAGCUUAAUGAGUAACAGUAAGAGGGACACAUACAUGAAUAUGGAGGAAAUAAGCUUGGCUAAAAAUCUUUACCAAAGCAUAAUAGGAAGCCGAUACCUCAUUGUGAUAGAUGAUAUAUGGGAUAUCAAUGUGUGGAUUGAUUUGAAAAGAUAUUUUCCAGAUGACGGAAAUGGAAGCAGAAUCUUAUUCACUACUCGAAAUAAAGAAGUGGGUUUGAAAGCUUUACCUCGUAAUGUCAUAAAGGAACUUCCUUUUCUGUCGGAAGUUGAAUGUUGGGAAAUAUUACAAGAAAAAGUGUUCCAAGAUAAAAAAAUGUCCUCAAGAAUUCCUAGACAUUGGCAAGCAAAUUGCAAAAAGCUGCCAGGGCCUACCACUUGCAGUGGUCGUGAUAGCUGGAGUUCUUGCAAACAUGGAGAAGAAAGAACUCUUGUGGGAAAAAGUUGCAAGAAACUUAAGUUCACAUAUAUCCGAAAUACCAGAGAAGCACAUCCAAAUAUUGCAGCUUAGCUACAACCAUUUACCAAUGCAUUUGAAACCAUGUUUUCUUUACUUUGGAGAAUUCGAGGAAGACAAGGAGAUCCCUGUAAGGAAGUUGAUAUCUCUCUGGGUUGCCGAAGGUUUUAUAAAGAAGGAAGAAAAGAAGAACAUAGAGGACGUGGCACGAGACUAUCUAAUGAAACUGAUUGAUAGGAGCCUAGUACUUGUUGCUGAAAGAAGAUAUGAUGGAGGAGUCAAAACAUGCAAGAUUCAUGAUCUAUUUCGUGAAAUGUGCUUGAAAAUAGCUGAAGAAAAUAACUCCUUGAAGUUAAUCUCAGAGUAAGUUCAAUGUUUCUCUUCUUUCUCCUUUCCUUUCCAUCCAUUUUUUAUUUUAGCUUACUUAGAAGGUUAUUAUAUUUGAUAAUCGUAACAAUGAUGUGAUUAUGUUGUUUUUGUUGCCAGUAGUGAUGAUGAUGAUGAAGAUAAACAACAGUUCUUCAGUCAAGUAUCAACGUAUCAGCAGCACCAUUGUUUGAGUAUCAACUACAUGGACUAUCCUAGUGGCCUACACGUACGCUCUCUUCUAUAUGAUUUUGUUUUUGAGAGCACAGUCACAUUAAUCUCAUGCAGCUACAAAGUUCUUAGGGUCUUUGAUUUUAAGAACAGGUCAACAAUCCUAGAUCUAGUGAUAGGAUUUGAAAAUAUGGUUCACUUAAGGUACUUGGCAAUUUCAUAUAAAUGGCAACCAUUGGAUUUGGAAAGGUUCCACAAACUAGAAUUUCUUGUUGUGGACAAUGUUGAUAAAGUUGAAAUACCUGAGAUCCUUCUUAAUAUGGUGAGUUUGAGACACAUGGAGUUCAAGGGCGGUGCAUACUUCGGUGAAUCUAGUCGUCAACUAGCAACUAAUAGUAAGAGCUUCCAAAUAAAUAUCCUACAAAGUAUUUCUGUACUCUCAAUUUACCAUGAAAUGGAUGAGAAAAUUUUGAGAUGUUUACCCAAUCUUCGUAGACUGAAAAUCAAUGUUGAAAAUUCACCAAAUCAUUCGUUCGAUUUCCUUAAUCAGCUUGAAUCGUUGAAUCUAUUUUUUUAUUCUACCAAUUUGAUCGGUUUGCCCUUAAAUUUGAAAAAAUUGAGACUGCAAUUUGGAGAUGUGUGAAAAGGCUAUAGUUCGACCCAAAUAAUACCUAGAGGGGGGGUGAAUAGGUGUUUAUGCGAAAUUUAACAAUUUAAUUAACUUAUGCAACAUGUCACAUAAGUACGCUUUGUCCAGAUUCAUUCACAUAAUUUAGCUACCUAAGUUGAAUUGCCGCGUUGAAAUCAAAACAACAGAAAACAGUAGAAACGCAACAAAAUGUUGAUGGAGAAAACUCAACUGGGUAAAAACUCUGGGCACAAGCCAAUAGAGAUCCACUAUAGAAGAUAUUGACUUACAGUACGCCAGACAUAAUUGAAUCUAACAAUACUUUGACCUCCUUACUGUAUCAACCAAAAUUCUCCUGGAUUUUGCAGAUCUGCGCCAAAAUCCCAGCCCUGAAUUUCUUCUAUCUCCCGUGAAUCACCAAGCACUCCAGUUCUUCAAGCAGUUUCCUUCCCGGAUCUUCAAACAGAUGAUCUUUUGGAAGUUGAUAUGGAGAUUUGAAUGGUGUUUUGGUUUUGUGAAGGUUGAUGUUUUUCUCUAAUAGAGCAAAAGAUGAAAAGAAAGAAUUUUUUGGCUCUAAAUCCUUUGGUUGUUGAGAGAAAUUUUUAUUUGUGUGUUUUCCCAAGGUUAUAAAUGAAAAACGGAAUUUUUGUUUAUAUAGUAGGUCGUUUUUGGUAGUAUGGAGCAUUUAAAAUUCGCGAGGAAGGAAAAUUACCAAAAGCUAGAUAGCACUGUCGCUCGAGCGAAGUGCUGGCGAAACUCGAGCGACGCACCUUCGCUCGAGCUACCCCUCAGCGAAACUCUAGCGACAACAGUUCUGUUAUUUAGGCUCGAGCGAGGUCAGGGUGAAACUCUAGCGAGAUCAACGCGUCGUUUGCAUCUUCAAAGCAUCCAACUUUACCCUAGACAUAUGCUAUAAACUUUGCAAAAUUGCAACACAAGUCCCUGAACUUUUUGGACCUUUACAAUGUAGUCCUUGACUUUACAAACUUGACAAAUUGGUCCUUUGGUCACAGAUUGCCAAUGACAACAUUUUUCUAACAAUGUGUCUCGAAAACAAAUGGAGAUUUGGAAGAUUGCCUUACCUUGAGGUUCUCAAACUAGAAUCAGUUGUCUUUGAGGGAAACAAUGGAACACAAGUGAAGGUAAAUUCCCACAACUUAAAUACUUGAAACUUGUAUGUGUAAACAUUGCAGAAUGGAAUGCCUCAGUGAUAAUUUCCCGAGGCUUCAACUAAUAGUAUUGAAUUUUUGCCGGAAUCUAAAGAUGAUCCCUUCCUGUUUAGGUGAUAUUCCAAUGUUACAGAAGAUUCAGGUAUAUAGGUGUGGACAAACUAUCAAUGAAUCAGCUAAGAAAAUUGAGGAAGAACAAAAAGAGAUGGGCAAUGAAGAGCUUGAAGUCAUUAUCUCUGAAUAGGAAAUUGACAUCGAGAAACUUCCAAAGGUAAUAAUGAGAGAGAUUCUCUUCUUUAACUCUCUUUCAUGUUCUCAUCUUGGUCCGAGGUAUUAAACAUCAAAAACAUCAAAAAUUAAUUCUACUGUAAUUUUGCCUUCUAUUGAAAUUAAGCUCAUGUUUGGUUUGGAUUAAAAUCAGAUUUUUAAUAGAUUUUCAUAAAGAUCAAUAAAAUGUGAUUGAAAAAUUAAUAAAAGUUGCGGGUCUCAUAGAAUAUGUGGUUGAAAAUGAGUUAAAGGGAAAAAUGAGUUUUAAAAAUUGGGGACCAAAUAGGCUAAGUUGGCUCAAUUUUAUGAGCUUCUUGAUGUUAUUCUAGGAAUUACUAAUCCAUAAGGUUCUAUGUUUGGACAUCGAUCUCUAUUAUUUCUGCCUUUCACAGAUUUUACCAUAAAAUCGUGUUUAAAUAAAACCCCCAAUGAUCACAAUUUCACUUCUAGUUUGAUUCAGUCCUCGAAAUAAUUUCAUUGUUUAGUCCAAGUCCUCAAUGAAUUGCAUGGGAGGUCCUUCCACUUCUAAACUUGUUAUCUUGGUCCUUGAUUCUAGAUUCCAUCCUUCUUGAUCAAAUAUUGGCCCUUUUUAUUGUUUCCUGUUCAAUACUGGUUUUUCUCCUAAAAUAAUCAUCAAAUACGCAAAAUUAAAUAUAUGCUCAUCAAUGUAUUUCCAAACAUCCUCUUUUGAUGGCUUGGAUAAGUAUAAAAUCAUACUUAUCAACUGUCAUCGAUAUGCAAUUUCAGGAGACGGGUGAUCUUUUUUUAUUUUUCCAAGGCAAAUAGUGAUUUACUCAUUUGUAUUGCAUGUUUGUGUUUGCACAAUUCGCUAAAGGACAAGUGAAUUCAAUUGUGUGAGUAAUAUGCCAAAUAUUUUAAACCAGUAGAGAUCUUUGCAUUGAUGAUCAUAUUUAGACAUAUAUUAUUGAUAUGCACACUCAAGAGAUUUUAUUAGGGUUUGAAGACCUUAAUGAUCUUGCAUAAAAGUUUGUUCUGACUUAAAAAGGUGAACCCAUUACUUUACAGACUUUUAACAUUGGUGUUAAUUAUUUCAGAUGCUAGGGUUGGUACGUUCUUGGCAAACAAGAUGAUCAAAAAUCGAUUGCAUAGUUGGAAGCAAGAUCAACGGUUGAAUGACAUUUUGGUGGCGUAUAUUAGAACGAUGUAUUUGAUGAUAUUGAUAAUGAUAUAAUUAUACAAUGUUUUCAAAAUAUGAAAAUGUGUAGGCUACAAUUAUAGUGAUAUAUUGACUUGUUUUUAGUAAUACGUUGUUUUAGAAAAAUUGUAUUUUAAUUUUUAAUCAAACAAUGAAAAAUGUGUGGCUUCACAAUCAUAUUAGGCUUGAUAAAACCAAUUAUCUUCGGUGGGAAAACCAAAUUCUGAAUGUCACCAUGGCUAGUGGAUUAGAAGGUUUUAUCGAUGGUACAUCUACUUUUCCAUCAAAGUUUGUUGUACAACUGCUCAUUGGGUCGAAAUUUUUAUUAACAUUGCAGUAUUAUGACUUCAAGCUUUUCAUUUCCCAUCUCUUCUUGUUUUUCCUGAAUUUGCUUAUCAGAUUCUUAAAUUGCUUGCUCAGACCCUCUACCAGAGAAGUUUCCCAAUCAAGAAUUUGCUCAUAAGAUUGUUGGUUAAGGGAUUCCUUUAAAUAAAAUAGAAGAAAGACAGUAAAUUUUCAGAGAAGUUUCCCAAUCAAGAAUUUGCUCAUAAGAUUGUUGGUUAAGGGAUUCCUUCAAAUAAAAUAGAAGAAAGACGAUAAAUUUCCAGAGAAGUUUCCCAAUCAAGAAUUUGCUCAUAAGAUUGUUGGUUAAGGGAUUCCUUUAAAUAAAAUAGAAGAAAGACAGUAAAUUUUCAGAGAAGUUUCCCAAUCAAGAAUUUGCUCAUAAGAUUGUUGGUUAAGGGAUUCCUUCAAAUAAAAUAGAAGAAAGAUGGUAAAUUUUCAUGUAUAUCAAAUUAAAACAGCAAUCUCUACAUAUAGAUGUUAGUACGCCUUUCCAAGGCGUUACAAUAUUUCUAGAACCAGCCUAGUUGAUACGAAACAAAUACAAAAAGAAAAUUUUAUUAUUCGAAAAUCUUCCACCCUGUCUAUCCCCAAAGUUCAGAACAGGAGGGGGUGUUUCUCCUUUUUCAGUAUUAUUAUGUAAUUGACUCUUCGUGUAAAGAGUUGAUUGAAUUGAUUGACUCAGACGGAUAAUAAUAUACAUGGGGGCGCCAACAAUAAAUGAUUAUGUAAUUAUACUUGCUAAUGCAAAAUAAGUAUAACUUCAUUGACAUAAACGAUAGGCAUCAUUUUUUACUGCUAUGCCAUCGAUUUCCAAGUGACAAACUAGACUAAGAGCAUUUAAACAUCUGAAUUCUUGAACACACCAUUCUUUCAAAAGAUUUUCAAUGUGUCAAAUUUGAAUAAGGGUCCUUACUAUUCAUCAAAUUAAACUACUGGCUCUAUCACAUUUAUCGACCUUUAGUUCAUUCUUUUGGACGUACUCCAUAAGGGUUAUCUAACAUAUUAGGCCAAUAUUGUAGAUUACAUACUUGUCCAUGUAAAUUGAUUUAUCAAAUGAUCUUGUAAUUGUCCACCCUCAACUCCUCCAGUAAUUUGUCUUGAAUGUCCUAUAUUUUAAAAGCGUUAAAGCGUCCCUUAUGGUAUCCAGGUUCGAACAAGUAGCCAUGGACGUGUCUUCGAUUUGACAUUGAAGUACUAAGAAAUGAAAUUAAAUUGCUUACAAACUAAUUAGCUCACGUCUACUCUUCUACAAUAUAAAGAUAGCUUACUUGAGCUUGGUAUUUUUCGCAACAUAUUCCAACUAAUCCAAUUUUGAAGUCAGUAAAACUGUAAAAUUGUCUAUCAACUCAAGUACAUACUUUCUUUGACUAAAUGUAUGCUUUAGGAAAUCCGUAAAAAUAAAUUGUCACGAGUCGCGUUAUCUAAUCAUACCAAACUUGCCACGAUGAAAUCAAAACUUAUCGCGACCAAACUAUUGUUAUACGCAACAUCAUGCACAUAAGAUCAUAAAUUUUAUGCACAAAUCUUUCAGAAGUCUACAGCUUCGAUUUUCAAACCAUAACUGGAGAAAGCAUGAUCCACGUCUGGAAAACAUAUUAAGCGCUUUCAAAAUUGCUUUGAGUAAACCUAUCAAAUGAAAUAACAUGCAAUCUAAUAAAUGUUUUCUUGAUAUGAUCUGGAAUCUGAGAUGUUAACCAUGACAACCGAGACAAAAAAAAAAAAAAUAAUAAUAAUAAUAACUAUUGUUUCAAAAAGCCCGUGUCGCAAGAUUGAAGUACUCCUGACCUCCUAGCUAGACAGAGGUUCAGGAUUCGUCUUCGUCUUCAUCUUUGUCCUCGUCUUCAACUUCAACUUCAUCUUCAAAAUCUACAUUAUCGACCUUUGCAACAGGAGAUGCUCACCAAAACUUGUUCAACUGUUUUAGAAUCUGAAGUCCUACGUCAGCGACAGCGUUGGCCAUUGACCAGAUCACUAUUCUUUUCAGCUUAGGCGAUUUUUCUAGUAAAAGCUUAGUGACUGCCAUCUCAGCAACUGUGCCUGAAAUAAAAUGCAGCUUCACUUUUUGAAGUCGAUUUGAAGUUACAUCUGAGCAGUCUUGCACUUACAGAAAAUCUGGAAUAGGACUAGCAUCAGCAUUUGCAGCACUCUCACAAAUCUAGACAUUAAAGCAAGAUAUCACUGAGCUUAAACUUUUGUUUUAAAAUGGAAAAUUGAAGAUGUAAAUUGUAAUGGUCAUAUCCAUCACUUACCUCGAAUCUCAGUUCCUCAAGGUUGAGGGCGCUGCUGAUCAAGCACAAAACACGAGAGUUCAUCCAAUAAAUUAAAAAAUAUAUAAAAUAACCUCUGAUCAAGCACAGAACACAAGAGAGUUCAUCCAAUAAACUAAAAAAUAUAUAAAAUAACCUCUGAUCAAGCACAGAACACGAGAGUUCAUCCAAUAAAUUAAAAAAUAUAUAAAAUAACCUCUGAUCAAGCACAGAACACAAGAGAGUUCAUCCAAUAAACUAAAAAAUAUAUAAAAUAACCUCAGAACUUUAAGGUGGAUUAAAGUAGCUGGAAGCCUUUCUUGGACUUGACCUGCAGCCAAAAUCUUGAGAGCAGUGGUAAAAGCACGAUCUAAUAUAGUUAACUUGACGAUUUCAAGGGAUUGUAUUUAUAAUCAAAAAUACCUUAAUGACAGUAUAGUUCAAGAAUAUUUUCUGAAGGCCAAUAAACUUCAUACAAAAGAGAAUAAAAAAACUGAAUGAAGUUACAUUUCCCAUCUUGCAAAAUAUUGUCAACCACCCAAUCAUUAUGUGAAGCAACAAAAAUUAUUGCAAGAAGAGUGAAUUUCUUAAAACAAAACAAUGAUGUAGGAAACAUGUCAAUUCAAAGUGUUUUAGCAUAGGAGCAUCAAUUUCUAAGUAGUCAAAUUUGUUUGAAACAUUCAGCAACAGUUUCUCCAGUAAUGGGCAGCUAGAUAUCAAACUUCCUAAUGCAUACAUCAUAAUCAAUUGUCACGUCAAGCAAUUCCAGCCAAAUCAUCCUAUUAAAUCCUUCAAAGCUUGGUGGAGGAGGAUUGAUCAAACAAGACAACAGCUUCAAAUGUUUCAAAUGUAAACACAUAAAUAGUGAAGAAGGCAAUGUGUACUGUUCUCCGCUCUUGAUUUUAAAGGUGAAUUCUUCAACACUGUACUUCCAUAAGAUAUGUAUCAAGUCGUCAAUGUCUGAGCAAUUUUAAGUUUCGGAAUAACGAAGCUCAAUUUAGUUAUGGGUCCUUUACGAAGCAAAAGAACCUUGUAAAGGAUCAACAAGAAUUUCAUUCUAGCUGAUUCUAGGUUUCCCUCAUAUUCUUGCCAUAGGGUCUCAUCAAAUCUCAGUUGGGGUAGUUUGACCCAUUUAUACCUCCAUUGUUUUGACAAAAUACUUGUCUUUGCAGCAUCAUGUAAAGUCAAAUGCAUUAGAAUGCUAUCUGCUACAUUGUCAGCAAGGUUGCUUACCCUAUCAACAGGUUGGAACUGGGUAAUAUCCAUUCUGCAGUGUUAUUGAAAAGACAACCCUUUAAUGACACCUCACAAGUAAUAAAUGUAUAAAAUUUACCUUAGAAGUAAUAUGCAUGCACACGGUAGAUAUUAAAGAUCCAACAUGAAGGUUUCCCCAUUGUCUUGCAUUAUUUUAAUAAUCCUACGCAAAAGUUUUAACAGUUAAAUUUUCCAUAUUUUAUAUCCCAAAAUUUGAAAAAUGGGGAUUACAGUUUCUUAAGCAUGGAUACACUUGCCCUCAUGCGUUAGAAAUUAAAAAAUUAUAAAAUAUCGGACACAACAUGUGGUGUGUUGAACACAUCUGCCUUAAGUCUAGGAAAUUUAAAACUGAUAUAUAAAAGAAUAUACGCCACGUGACAUAUUGGUAGUAGAAUGAGUGUCAUCCUUCAUAGCUGGUUAAAUUAUCAAAACAUUCAUAUGUUACCCACCAGGAAAAUAGAGACAGGUUUCACAAUUGAAAUUUACAUUUAUACAUGCCCUCGACAAAGUGGCUGUUAAGGGAUAUAAACCCACAUCAAAUAAAGAUGAAAAUAUAAAUCAACUUAUAAGAUUUUGUGCUACUCCUAUUUAUAAGGUUGAUCUUUUAAGAUGGAACUCUCAAUCUUAACAUAUCAGAGACAUUAAGCUCUAACAAACGAUUCGAUCCGAUUAAGAAUAUAAAAAAAUGAGCAUACGGACACCAAGAUUGGUUUGCUCAAAAGAGCCACCAUCUUGCUGUGGGUUUGUUAAGGAACAUAAUCUCAUAUCGAAUAAAGAUGUAAACUUGGACUAGUUUAUAAGUUUUGGGCUAUUCCUCUUAACAAAGUUGACAUUUUAAGAUGGACCCAAGUCUUAAAAUGGUAUGUUAAGGGAUAUAAUCCUACAUCGAAUAAAGAUGGGAACAUAGACCAACUUAUAAGGCUCUCGGCUACUCCUCUUAACAAGAUUGGCCUUUUAAGAUAAACUAUAAAUUUUAACAUGGUAUUAAAGCCCAUUAAGCUCCAACGAACGAUUCGAUCCGAUUAAAAUUCAAAAAUGAGUACAUGAAUUUCACUAUUGGUCUGCUCAAACGAGUCAUCAUCUUGUGGGAACAUGUUAAGGAAUAUAAUCACAUAUAAAAUAAAGAUGAAAAUAUAGACCAACUUAUAAGGUCUUAGAUCACUUCUAUUAACAAGGUUGAUCUUUUAAGAAGAAACCCAAAAUCUAAACAGUGGCAACAAAAUAUUCAUGUUGUCAAUCCCAAAUUUAUUGGGAUUAAAGUUUAGUUUGUAGUCAUAGAUGCAAAUCUAACAUAAAAAUGUGUACUGCUCUUCACAUAGUAUCCUUGAUGAUGCAGUGGUGCCUACCUGUUAUAAUUCGAUGGUUAAACUAGUUGUGAAUCCUGAUGACAGAAAGUGUGCUAGGAUAAUAGUUUGUAGAGUGUUCUAAAAAAAAAUCUCUCUUGUAUAUGAGCUAGGCACCACUUUUAUAGGUAGAGACUACUUAUGCAGAUGGUGUGUUUCUUCAUUUUAAUAAACCCGUUGCUCGAGUUUUCUCGAAAUUGAGUCUACCAUGAAAUAGGUGAUCAAAUGGAUUGACUCAGUCAGAGAAUUGAUUUAGAUAAGGAAAGAGUCUGGUCGAAUAUCUAUGUCCAGUCUGACCAUAGGUUAAGAAACAAAAAAGAAAAUCAAAAUACCGUCUAUAGCUACAAUGUGACUGCUUAGAAAAAUCUAUUGUUCGAAAAUUAGAAAAGCAAAGUAUCAAGGAAAGUUAAACUUAACAAACUGACUAAUUGCUAAACUAAUUCUAUUUACAGUAGCCUACAGAGUUGAGGGUCAUUUUUAGGAUUUUUCUUCCAUCCUCAUCAUCUCCAAAGAAGUCAAUCUUUAUAUAAUGUAUGUAUCAAUAGACUAUGCAUUUUACAUUCAACCCCACCCCAUUAAAAGAAAGAAGGCAUCUUCUGGUAGUAUACACUACUUCUGAAUCCUCUUUUAUCCUGUCAUAAUAUUAUUUUCUGCAAAUUCCCCAAUUUGUGUUGCAAAAAUAAAAUCUCAUUGAACAUGCAGAAAACAGUGCAACUAAAGAUUUGACUCAUAAAUAAAACACUACACAUUUCUACAAAUAUUUCAUAUAAAAAGUUAAAGGGAGGGACCGUACAAAAACUGUUUCAAUUUAAGAAAAUAGAAUCGCACCUGUAAUGGAGAGAGUGAUGGCACCGCGGCGGAGGGGGUUUUGGAUUGCAAUCUCAAAGGAAAUUAACGGGGAAAGGGGAGCUGAACCUUCAGUGGUGGAUUAAAACACUUGGGUCAAACUUAAAAGUUAAGGGUGUUUUGUUUGUGUUUUAGUUUUGUGUUUUGAGUUUUAAAUUCAUUUUGAGUUUUGUGUUUUGAGUGUUUGUUUUGAAAUUGUUGAAAAUGUGUUCUUUUUGUUUGUUUCUUAAAACAAAAAAAAUGAAAUUUUUUUUUUUUUGAAGAGAAUCACCACACCUCCAAAAAAAAAAAUAAAUAAAAAAAGAAAAUUUUUUUUCGAAAACGGGAAAGAGAACACGUUUUCACCGUUUUGAAAAAUCGAAAACAGAAAACGGCCCGAAAACGGUAAAGAGAACAGGGCCUAAAAGUUGCUGACAUUUUUUGCUAACUGCCAAACUUGAAUAAAUUUAAUUUUAAGUUUUAAAUAACUUCAUUUUGAAAUAUGACUAAAGGCCUUGUUUAAUAGGGAUUAAAAUCAAAUUUUAAGUAAAUUUUGAUAAAAAUUAUUGAAAUUUAGCUAAAAAGUUGUGGAUCCCUUGAAAUGUUUGAUUAAAAAUAGUUGUUCACUUUGACUUAAAUUAAAAUCUAAAUUUAAUUUGUAUCAAAUAAGUUUUUAAAUAAUUAAUUACUUUUUUCUUAAUUAAAAGCACUUAGCCCCUGAUUGGUGAGUAUUAAAAUCAAAUUUUUACUAGAUUUUAAUAAAAAUAAGCGAAAUGUAUGGUUGAAAAGUUGUGAGUCUCUUAAAAUUAAUGGAUGCUUAAAAUUAGUUAUUAACUUUGAUUUGUAUUAAAAUCUGGAUUUAAUUUGUAUAAAAAUUGGGCUUAGUAUAAAAGUAAGUUUUAUUUUACUAUAAAAAGUAACUUAGUAACAUGUUUGCUAGUGAAAAUGAAAAGAACAAAGAAUAACAUAUUUGGCUGAGCUCAAAAAAACAUAAAAGUAUCUAAGAUUUACAAAACACAUCAUAUUAUCAGAGUUUUAAAAAUCGGACCGACCCCAAUCCGUUCAACUGAAAGAAUCGAGAAUCGAGUCCAAAACCAAAACCAAUCUAGGUAGGCUUAUAAAACCUCUAAUUGAAAAUUCAUCCCAAAACUCGUUAAAUUGACAAGUUUUUGAAAAACCCAUGAACCUGUUCAACCUAUGUAAAUGUAUAUUUUUAAAUUAUAUAUAUGUAUUGCAUAUUUAUAUUUUUUAAUUUUUCAAAAAUCACUAGUUCGAUUCCGAUUCAACCCUGAUUUAACCUUUUGAUGCUUGACUCUCUUUUUCAAGUAAAUAGUCGGGUCAAUUCUUAAAACAUUGCAUAUUACUGAUUUGAUAUCUUUUUUAUUCAUUUUAUUUCGUUUUUCCAAUUCGCUGUAGACUUGUAUGAAAAUAGGAUUUACUUUAUUGAACUCCUCGACAAAAUCAUACCAAAUGGGGGUAGAAACAAAGCUUCUUUUGAUUAUUCGUAAGCGCCAAUUAGUUAAAAAAUUACAUUAAUAAUUUAUACUCUUGCCCUAGCUCGUCCAAAAGCUAGAUUCAUAUCUAUAUUAGUAAAAAAAUAUAUUUUAAAACUAUAAAUAAAUAAUUUUUUAUUAAUCAUUUUUUCUAAUUCGCUAUAGACUUGUUUGAAAAUAGGAUUUACUUUAUUGAACUCCUCGACGAAAUCAUACGAAAUGGGGGUAGAAACAUAGUUUCUUUUGAUUAUUCGUAAGUGCCAGUUAGUUAAAAAAUCACAUUAAUAUUCUCUACUCUUGUCCUAGCUCGUUCGAAAGCUAGGUUCAAAUCUAUAUUAGUAAAAAAUAUAUUUUAAAACAAUAACUAAAUAAUUUUUUAUUGAUUAGUUUUAUAAAUAAAUUAUGUUAUUUAUUUGAACAAUUAAAUGAGAAUUACUUUAGAUCAAGAAAAUGAUUUUAGGACAUGUUUAAAAAUAAAAAAUGACUACAAAAUAAUUAUAGAUGUGAAUAUCACACUUAUUUUUUGCUUAGUUAACGAGCAUUUGUUGAUUGUUAUAUUCAAUUCUUUAUUCUUUAGAGUGAAUUAUUCAAUUCUACUCUCUGUUGAUUUGUGCAAUAUUUUCGUGUUCUUGGGCAAAAAUUUGAAUUUUGACAAUUUUAUGAUAUAGAGUGAAAGGAGGUGAAAAGAGGACUAGCUUUUGAUGGUUUAAGUUUCACUGUGACAUUUUGAUAUUGAAAUUGAAUAUAAAUUGAGAUUUUUUAUUUUUUAUUUUUUAUUUUUUUGUUGAUUUAUAUUUUGUUAAGGGCGAAGGGAGGGGCAACCUUGGGCUCCCAUUAAAUUUUCAUUAUUUGAGAGAGAGAGAGAGAGAGAGUUAUUAUUAUUUUUUUCUCUUUGUUAGUUUAAUACAACAAAAAAGCACUACCCCCUAUUAAAUUAAUAUUUUUAUCAACUUGUGAAUGGUUUGUGAGCGUGGUGUAAAAAUAAAAUAAUUUGUCAAUUGUCGUAUUAAAAAUUAUAAAUCCAGAAGAUAGUAAAGAUAUGCUUUUAAUAUUUGUGUGGGUCUUGUAAUUGAAUUUCUUUGGGUCGUAUAACGCACUUUUAAUUGUUGAAACUUACCUAGUGAUGUAGUCAUUCCACACUUUAAAGUAGGUUUAAUUUUUCUUGAAAGAGAGAUCAUCAAGUAAGUUUGUGAAAUUCGACUGGCAGCAUACGUGAAGUUUGUCAAAGUGUAAUAAAUUAAUGUUAAAAAAAAAAAAAAGUCUGAAUCGGUAGAUUAUGAGGAUAGCGAAUCUAAUUGGGAAGUGUCGGCACGCCCAUUUUGAUCUCUAACAUCCUUAUGCAAAAAUAGUAGUGUAAAAUUAUAAAGUAAAUAACUUUUUUUAUUUUACGAGAAUUAUAAAUAAAAUAAUUUAUUAAUUUUAACAAUAAAUGAACACAUAUUUAAAAGAAAAACAAAUAUAAGGUUACAGAUUUGUAUUUUUUUUUUAAUCGAAAGUUUAAUCCAGAACAAAAUCAUAGAAACAUUAUGUGUAAAUAGGGAUGUCAAAGGGGCCUAGCGACUCGUUGGUUUGGCCGCUCAUUUCGUCAAAAUAGGGAUCGUGGGCGGUUCGGGCUUGUCAAAUCACGAGCCCGAGCCAAGCGCAGGGCCCCAUUUGGCGAGCCAAUUAUCCGCGAGCGCACGAGCUCAGUUCGUGUGCUAUAGUUGCCGAAUUUGGGUUACAAAUUUUUUUCCUCAAAACAUUUGCCUAUAAAUACCCCCAGAAGGCCCACCCAUUUUCAUCUUCAAAUUAUUGGUUUUUCACUCUUCUGCGUCAUACAAUUACAAUUUUCUUACUAUUUCAAUUUAUCGUAGGCCACAUGGAUUUAAAUCUGAAUCUUUGUGGCAUAUGAGAAAUUGGAUCUAUGUGGCAUACAAUAAAUUGGAAACUGAAAAAUGUAUUAGAUAGAUUGGCAAAAAGUAUUUUGGAAGCAUUAUUAAUGCACGUGAAGGAUUGACGUAACGCUCAUUUUCGAUUACAAGAUAAAUUUUAAUUUGUCGAAAUCACAUAUUGUUAGGUAAGUCAUAAGUGAUAUUUAAUGCAAUUUUAAUCAUAUUAAUCAGAAUUUGUUAUUUUAUAGUACUAUUUUUAAAUUCCUUUAAAAAUUUGUACAUGUUACAACCUACAAGUCAUUCGUGUACAAUUUUUAACUCCGCCUACUCAAAAUUUAAGUUACCGUUUCCAAGCUUGGAUAAAGGAGGAGGGUUCGUAUAAUUAUAUUCUGAUUUCAUCUAUUUAAAUUUAAAAAAGAAAAUGGAAAUCAACGAGCUCCCCCCUUAAGUAACAAGCCACGAGCUCGGCUCCUGAGGAACAUGAGCCGAGCUCGUAUGUUUAAGGGCCGAGCUGAGCUGAGCCGGUCCAUUGCCACCGCUACGUGUAAGUGAUCAAGCAUGCCCAUUAACAUGCUCUAUAUAUGGUGAAUUUUAAUGUGUAUAUUGUGAGUACGUCUAGACAUAAGAUGCCUUCAUAUACAUCAUCAUGUGACAUAUAAAUUAAGCUCCUGUAUGGUGUAGCUAAAUAGUUGAUAAAAAUUUAAGUUAAAAAGUCAAUUAUUAAUUUUAAUCACGAAUUUCAUAGGAUUUACACUUUUUAUCAACUUUAUCAAAAUCUACAAAAAAUCUAAUUUUUAGCUAAAUCAAAUAAGGGAUUAAUUCGUAUGUAGUAACAUGCAAUCCAGCACGAACACUAGAAGUCAAUAUAUGAAUUUUCAAAGCUAUUGCACUUUUGAUUUUACCCAAUACAAGGAAUCUACAAAAAAUCUUAAGCUCAAUCAAACAAGAGCUAAUUUGCAUGUAAUAGUAUGAAGUUCAACGCAAACACUUGAAGUCACGGAUGCGCUCCCAGCUGUUUGGCCAUCUUUACCUCUCUUAAAAUUAAUUAUCUGCUACUUUUCAACCAACUCCUUUGCAGCAAUUGGGCCCCAUGUCUGCUGCCAUGCUUAGCAGUUGUAGAUAAAAAAUCUUGUUGAUCGUUGCACGUUGCCAGACGAAAAUACCUCCUUUAUUGAAAUGAACUCCAAAUUAUUCCCCAUUCAUGACAUGUGACCUUCUUUUUUCCAUAAGUCUUGAACUCUGCUCAUCUCCACUUAACUCCGCGUGGCCAACACUGACCUCAGAUGCUGGACCAUAGAAGCUACAAUUGAAGACAUCCACUUCUGCAUAUAAACGUAUGGCAUCCAUAGCAGCCUAACUUGUGCCCGAUCCACUGUUCGGAGCUCCCGUUCUGCCAUUGUCCCGUAAAGUCGCCCACCAAUUCCUCGACAUAGACUCAUAGGCUGAUUCCUUUCUAUGCCUUUUGGACCCACAAGUCAGGGCCACACGGCAAGGACAACGACAGCUCGCAUUGGGGCUACUAUCCACAAAGCAUGGUAAGCUUCUUACCGAAUUCACGAGAUUCUAGCACAUCAAAAAUCACUUUUUGUGGCAAGUUGGUGACUGACAACCGUUUCUUUUUCAAAGCUACAUGACCUAGUUAAUUGACCCGGUGCUAGUUGUAUCUCUUCCUCGACGCUCCGGCACGAGGUCAAAGACCCAAAAGUGUGCGAAGUAGGAUCCUCGGGAAUACCAGAUUUUUAUCUCUAUGGCAGAGCACGUGACUGCUGAGGGCAUUGUCGGGGUAAGUUUUUUUCGACUACUUGCUGGGAGCACAUCCGUGAUCUGUUGAACAAGAAGGCUAGGAAGGAUUGGACGAUCGCUCAGCUCAAAAACCACUAGCAAGUUAUGCGAACGGAGCACGAGCUUUUUAUGAAUUGCUCUAAUGCUCUGGAAUUCAGUAUAGGUUGAACAAUGGGGGCAGAAUCAAAGUGGCGGACUGGUGGUAGAAGCAGAAAUUGAAGGUAAUAAUGAACUGCCCGUAAUCAUAAUCUCCCUGUUUGUCUUGCCAUAUGAUUGUCCACUUUACACUUGUUGAACAUGAUUAUACUUUACCUAUUUCCGACUACCCUCACUACAUAAUGCGAAUCUUCAUAAUGUGUUGUGCUGCUUUUGUAAAAAUACAAUUGGAAUGCAUAAUUUAUAGUUGUCGUUACCUUUGUUGUUGCCAACUUCAUAGGAUGCAGUACAAGCUGCCUUGUCAUUUCGAAAACUGAAAUGCAAUCUACUAGGAACCAUGUACGUUUAGGACUUAUUCCAAACCCAUGUCCGCUGCUUGCACUAUGUUUUUGCAAAUUUCUAGUUAUGCUUUAGUUGAAUGUGGAAUUGCAUGAUCUCGUUGUUCUCUUUUUUUUUUUUUUUUUUUUUUUUUUUUACGCCAUACUAUGUCCCACUGUGAUAUGCACAUGGAAUUGAUAUCAUUAACCUAGUGCAGGAGAAUCCAAAGUAUGGAAAGUUUAAGGACAGUGACAACAGAGAAAUUUACCACACUUACAGCAAACUAUUCGAUGACAGUAAUGACUCUACAAAGUAUGUUUUAACACCAACAAAACUUUCACAAUCCGAUUUAGAUUUUAUCUUGGACAAUGACACCGAAGAUCCAAACGAUAGGCUACCGGUCAAUGCCAAGACGACAGACUCGAGUGACGAGCCAACGGAGGGCAGAGCCAACUCUUUAAUGAAUAUUUCCCUCAGGCGAGGCAGGGAAAAGUGUAAUGGUAAGGAGGUGAGGGAAAAGGGAAAGAAAAGAACUUCGGGGCCAGGGAAGUGUCGAAGUCUGCUAACAACUUGGUGACUACGUCAAGAGAAUUCACCUUGAUCCUUCGUUCCAAGGACAAGGGCCUAAUGACCAUUCUAGAGUGUGUGAACGACUUGCUUUUCAUGGGCCUCGUUGUUAGUGGUGACAAGCUCCAUUUGAUCACUCGGUAGUUCUUUAGGCAGAGUGACAAUUGAAUUGCAUACAAGUCUGCCCAAACAUGGGAGCUCAGGUUCGUGUGGAUUGAGUACUGCUUCAAACGCGACGAGGAAUCAAACCAAGACAAGUUGUCGAAGGCAUGGCACAAACUUUAAUUUUACUUUGCCAUUGUCGAUUUCAUAUUUAUGUCAUUAAUGCUGUUUGUAUUCAUAUGUGUUGAUGUACUUUGGACAACUUAAUUUCCCAUUUGUUGAGCAUGUAUGUAAUUAUUGUACUUGAGAGCGAUAAAAUGUUUAAUGGCAACAGUUGUAUGUGUAUGUCGAACAUAUUUGUUUCUACUGUGACAUGUUUUAAGUUGACGUGUUGAUGGAAUAUAUUCAUUGCCAUAUGUAGAGAAUGUAUUCCCAUUUAAAGUGCUCGUCACUUACCAUCAAGGCAGGCUAAAGUAAACAUUGUGUGUAUGGCAAGUAUAAUCAUGACAUUGGUAUGUCUAUAAAGGGCCUCAUCCAUUUCCACAUAGUGAUGGCUCGGCUCGGCCUGGCUUGUUUUCAACGAGCCGAGCUUGAGCUCGGAGCUUGUAGCUCGUUCGAGCUCGUGGGCCGAGUCGAGCUUUGGCUCACGAGUUUAUCAUCCUUUUUUUUAAAUAGAAAAAACACAAAUAAUGUAAUGAAAACACUUUUUAAAAAAAUAAAAAGUAUUAAAAAAUACAAAUAAUUUAAUGAAGACAUUUUUUUUAUUUCUAUCAUAUUGUAAUAUUUUUUAUAAAGUAUAAAAUAUUUAUGUAAUGAAGACGAAUUAUUUUUUGAAAUACAUUUACACAAAAUAUAUUUUUUCGAUUUCUUUUUAAAGUAGAUAAAAUAUAAAACCUCCUCCUUUAUCCGGAUUUGGGACCGACUACAUCAAUUUUGAGUAGGCGGAGUUAAAAAUUGUACACGAACCACUUGGUGUAAUGUAUACAACUUUUUUAAAGAAAAUUAAAUUUAACGAUUAAAAAAUAAUAAAAUUUUGAUUAAUAUAAUUAAAUCAAAUAUCACUUACCUGACGACAUGCAAUUUCAGUGUAUUUAUCUUGUAGUCGAAAAUGAGAGUCAGGAGCCAAUCCUUCACGCACAUUAACGCUUCCAAAAUAUCUUCUUUCAAUCGACUCCUGACAUCAGUCAAAACCCUUUCACCUGCACUAAAAGUAGACUCCGAAGCGGAGGUGUCAGCAGAUCUUUCGCAAUUGCAGAAACAAUUGGCUAACAUCUUUCAUAUUUUCGCUAGAAUUCAAUUACUUUUCCUGAACUUUUUUUAAUUGUUCUAUCUGUUGGCAUAGUAGAUAACGAAGUAAUCAAUUAAUUCGACAGGCAUCACAUUUUGAAUUGCAGCAGAUGUUUGAUGAGAUGUAAAUGUAGACGACAUGACACUAGAUGAACACAUUGUAGUUGCAUCAUAUCUAAAUGCAUUAAUGUCUUGAAAUAAAUUCAUUAUUUCGGCAUCAGUUUCUUCAAUUUCAGCUGAAGGAGUAGGUGCAGAGGGUAUCCGACUAACAUUCGCACUCAUUCUUUCCGCUUAUAAAUCAUACAUUUCACAUAAUUUUUGCUCUAAAUUCUUAUAGGUGAUAGGUAUAUCAAGUAUUAAGGCUUUAUUGAUUUGAUCAAUUACGUAUUUAGUUCCCGAAAUAUUAUAUCGGCGGUCCAUUGUGCAUGUUAGAGGAAAUAACAUAUGCAGUUCUUCCUAAUAUUUUCUAAACUUUAAUUCCACAGCAAUUAUAAUUUCACUAAAAGUAGGAUUAUUUUUAUAUUUAUGAAAUAUACUUGCAAUUAUAUAAAGACGUUCAAGCACCAUACAACUUGUGGGAUAAUAAAUGUCGGAUAAAAUUUUUGUGGUCUCAUAAAAAUAUGUUAAAAAUCGUUUAACUUUCAAAGCUAAAACCCAAUCGGAUUUAUUCAACAUACCAUCGUCAUCACUUGUAACGUGUCUAUUGUUAUAAAAGUCAGUUAUUAAAUAUUCAAAAAAUUCACAUGACUUUAAUAGCAAGUAAGUAGAGUUUUAUCUAUGGCCUACGUCGCUAACAAAUAUUUUAGCAGUCGUCACCCCUAGUUCGACACAAAAAUCUUCAAAUAUUUGUUUUUUAUUAGGAGAGAUCGUAAUAUAUACUAAUACAUUUCUAAUCUUUUGAAGUUCAUCAUUUUUAUGUUUUAAGCCAUCUUACACAAUUAAAUUCAAGAUAUGGCACACACAACGAAUAUGAAACAAAUAUCCACCAAAAUCAGAUUGAAGUGUCCUAUACAAUUUAUCGGCGACUACCUUAUUAACACUAGCAUUAUCAAAAGUAAAAGAUCGAAUUUUAGUCUCGCAAUUAUAUUUCUAAUAAUACUGAUAAUAGAUUAUAUAUAUUAUUAGCAUUGUGAGGAAAUUCAAUAAUUCUAAAAGCAAUAAUUUUUUUAUGCACGCACCAAAGUGAAGAUAUAACACCCCUUUAUAUGCUCUUUUACUAAAACUAUAGUGUGCGGUUGUAACUAUAUAUGCUCUUUUAUUAACCCCUUCCCAUAUAUCAGAAGUUAAAGAUAACACCCCAUAUUGUUACAAAUUUAUAAUUAAUUAUUGUUUUGAAUGAUUGAAAUAUUGUAUUGUAUCGGCAUGAAGAAUGUUUUGACUUACCACAACGUAUAUUGGUUGCAGAUAUUCUUUCACGAAUGAGACGAAGUGUAGAUCGUCUGCAAUAGCGAGAGGCAACUCAGUGAUGGCAACAAAUUUCACCAUUCCGGUUCGAGUAUUGUCCCCCGAACACACCCACGUGGAUAGGAGUGAACUCGUAGAACCGGUGCCUGGACUGUCAAAUUGUAAUUGUGUUUGACCAGCUGGAAGAAAUCCAUAUCUGGCCGCACAUGCUUUGUAGUGGGGGUUGAGAUGGGUGGUACCAAUUCCUUUUUGCCAUGCCAACUUUUGUUGGCAGUAUGUAUAUUUUGCAAGGCCAUCGAUGACUUUUUUCGUUGAAAUCAACUUAAAGUGAUUCUAAUAUUUUGCUUAUUUUUUGCCCUUUCACUUUUCCCUUGUAUCUGGGAUAUAUAAUUCGACAUCUUCGUCCUCUUGUUCCGCUUCGGGAACAUUAAUAUCAUCCAAAUCAAUUGGAUUAUGACUUCCAUGACUGUUAAUGUGAACAUCUUUAGGUAUUGGUACGUCAUUUAGACCGGCAAAUUCAUUUGGAAAAUAUUCUUGUGCCAUCCUAGGCGAUUCGCCAUGUGACCCACAUCCUGUAUCGAAUAAGUUCUCAACAAAUGAGCAUUGAUCCAUUUGUUUGAUUGUUUAUAAUGAAAUUCAAAUAUAAUAACUAGUAAAAAUAUAAAUGUAGUGAGAAUUGAGAAUUGGAUGAAUUGAAAUUGUAACUGAGUAAACUGUAAAAAAAUGAACCGAUAUUGUAUAUUUUGCACAACAGCACAAGAGAGUAAAAACUCGAUAAUUGAUAUAAUAAAAGAGAGUUGAGAAAUGAGAAGUGAGAAUGAAGAGAUAAUUGAUAUGAAAAAAAUGGAGAGUUAAGGGGGUAUUAAUAAUUGAAGGAAAAAAAAUAAAUCAGUGACUAUUUCGGUUACUGAAAAAGUAACCUUUUUGGUCACUCAACUUAACGAGCUACAAGCCGCUCGUGGGCGAGCUACAAGGUGAGGCCCGCUAGGCUCGCAUUCGGGCUCGUGAUUUUAAGAGCCCGAGCCGUCCACGGGCCCUAUUUCGUCGACUCGGCCCUUUUAACAUCCAUAUUUCCACAAACCAAGUGAAGUUGGGAGAAAAUGCAGAGUUAGAAAAAUUUUAGACUUCCGUAGGGUUAAGGUAGGAAAUUGUCCCACAUUUUCUUUAUAGUACAUACAUCUUGUUACAUAAUGAUGUUUCCCAAAGUCCGAUUAAUUGGGUGUGUCGUGUUUUACUCAUGCAGAUGAGCGACGAGUCCUCUGCGAUUGCCUCCUUUGGUAUAGAUUGCAACUUCAUUUUAGUGUUCAACUUUGACUAAGGAUAGGACGAUGAAGUACUGCAACAGAUGGAAGAUGACACUCUUGCAUGGUUGUAAUAUUUAUGAAGAGCGGAAGGCAUAGUCCUCGAAACUUGUCACCGAAUAGAGGCAACAGAUACUUGUUUUCCAUGUCACGCAGCGGUCAUUUUUUCAUACUUCAGAAUAUGCACGUGUACUCACAAACUUGUUUCCAAGAGUUCCGCAUGUAUCCCCCUACGUUCUAGCUUUUUAUGCGUAUUCUUCGAGAUCAGCAAGGAUUAGUGAGCAUCACAAACAUCGAUAUAUACGAACAAGUUGGCAUAUUCUUUAGCACACAGAAAAUGAUAUCUUCAUGUGCAAAUGCUCUUUGAGCAUUCCUUGUAGACCAUUUCCCAUUACUUCAAAUGCGUGCUGUGAGUCGUCGUUGUGCUAGCUGCUGAUAGGAUUAGAUCACAUCACCAGUACAAUGAAGAAGGCAGACAUCACCAACCCAAUACCACCGUUUCAGGUUAGGAUGGCCGAACACUAAAUGGGAACCAAUGCGUUUGUACAACAUUUAUUGAUUCGUUAGAAGUGCCCACUAAUAAUUUGGAUUCCUGUAACAGGAGUGUAUUGGCUCGAUUGACAGAAUGCAUGUUUGAGUUGUGCUACCGCGAUAGAGGAGACAGACUUUUUUGGAAGGAAAGGAUAUCCAACUUAGAACUUGUUGGCAACGUGUGAUUUCAAUUUGUGUUUUACGUUUGUAAUGCCCGGAACUACUGGGAACAGGUACGACAGUCGUAUUUUGGCACGAUGUGUCCAUAGUCUGGAUGUAAACUUUUUGAAACUAAGGAACGAGAAAUACUACUUUGUGAACUCGGGUUUCACACAGCUGUCGUGAUACAUAGCUCCAUACAAGGGAUUUAAUGUACGAUAUUACUUUCAAGAAUUUCGGAACAGCAAUGGCAGUCGAUGGUAGGUCCUAAAUGCGUGGAAGAGGUUCAAUUUUCAUCACUCAUCUUGCCGUAACGUUAUUGAGCGAGCAUUCGGUGUUUGGAAUUAGAGAUGAAAAAUCAUCGAUCGAAUGUCUAGGUACUCGUUCAGAUCACAAACAUUUGUUGUCAUUGCAAGGAUGACUGUUCAUAAUUUCUUAAAACGACACGGAAGGUUGAACGAAGGCUUUCGCAGAGCGGAGAAAGCUGAUGACAACAAAGUUGAGGUCAAUCUACCAGACCUUGAGGACGAAAUUACGGCCGAUGACGACGCGAUUGGGGUCGAGAAUAUACCAUGGCAACAACUUUGUGAUUAUAUGGCCCAAGCACUUUGUUAAGUGUUAGGAAUAGUAGUCCCUUCAAUUUAUGUAAUCCAUUACUUGUUCAAAUAAACUACAUCGCAGAGUGAAAAAAUGUGGAAAAAACGUUUGUGUCGUGUGCGAAUGAAGCGAUAUGAAAGUGUAAAAUCAGGAAAUGAUUCACGUGAUGAAUGUAGGGGCAUUAUGGUCUUUCGAUCAUGUGUUCCGGUGUUUUUCAUGCAAAGGCAUGUGCAGUGACUUGUAACGGUACAUGCACUGCCAUUGUGGACUGAUGUAUGGGUCCCACAAUUGUUUGAAAAAUUUGGCAAAUAAAGAGAGGUAAAGGGGACCAAACGGGGAUUGAUUUCUCCCAAUACGAGAAGUAAGCAUCCGUCCAUGGUAACCAACAAUUAAACCCUUAUUUGAGCCGUAUUUUGGGGAAAAAUCUGUUUUGGAAUAGUUUUUUUAUUCCUUAGAGAAUGCGUGGUUAAAAAACAAAAGUUAAAAAAUAAAAAAAGUUUCCAAUUUACGUGUAAAAUUAUUUUAUUGUAAAACGUGUGGUUGAAAAUAAAUUUUGAAAAAAAUGAGUUUUUGAUAAAAUGAGCUCAAACAAGGACUAAGUGCUUCACCAUUACGUUGUGUCUACUUGCGUUUACUUUUUGGAAAAAUUCAUAUAUGCCUCAAUAUUAAAUAAAAUUUCACACUUUCCAGUGUGAUGGUAAAUAUAAUUAGAAAUACUAAUCAAAAUGAUAAUUACCUUUAGAAAUACUACCUUCCAUAAUUAUAUCUCACACCAUAUUCUGUAACUGAUAAAUUAUGAAUUCAACAAAUAUCACGCUUUCAAUUAAUGCACCUUCCAAAUCAGAGAUAAAUUUAAAAUUAAAGUGGGAGAGAUGCAGAUAUAUGUGGCAGACAACGUAAGGCGAAUCCUCAUCUUCCAAUUGUAUCGUUCAAGAUAUACUUCUUCGAUGGCAGUCGUUGAAGAAAUUUUUAUAUUUCGACGAAGAUAAAUUGUGUGAUGUAUAGAAUAAAAAAAGAAUGUGUGAUGUAAAUAAAUAAAAUGACUAAAUGUAUUAAUGUCUUAUAUGUGAAAUGUAGGAGAACAUUGGUUUCCACAAGUGGUUGAGAUGUCACGUGCUUAAAAAUCGCUACUUAGCAAUGACGUCGAAUAUAGUGAAGUUGGUGAAUUUUGUGAUUAAACCUUUUAAGCAUUGUGUGACAGAUUGCAUGUUCAAAUUGCAGAGGCACAUAUUACAAAGGUGAUUUUAUAAGAACCUAAGUAAUGCAAGUGAAACAUUUACGCGAUUAGCAGGCGGACAUGAAAUAUUCUAAGGUUGAAUGCUAAAUGGUCAAUGAGACUAAACGUAAAUGAACUAAAUAUAGUUUCUCGGUUUCUCGAUCUAAUAUUUUUAUCAUAUAUGUAUAUUUCAUUCCAGUUCUUUGCAGGUUUCUGCUUCUACUCAAUUCCAGUAUGAAGUCACUCACCAAUGAUGGAACAAGCACAUUGUAGACUUGACUUGUAUGAGAUGCAUAUGUAACCGUUUUCAAAUAGAUGGCGUUCCAUUUUAUUACAGUUUAGCAGUAAUGGAUGAGAAGGGAGAGCAGCCUUACAACUAAUGCUCACAUAAUAAUACGAAGGACACCUACGUGGACAUUUACUGUUACAAUCCAACUUUUAUAGUCAAAAAUUCAAAUAUUGACUAGUCAAAGUCAAAGUCAAUCAAGGACUAAAAUGAAAUUAAAUAUUUUAUUUGGGUUAUUUUGCAAUUGGCAAAAUGUAAAGGUUGAAUUGGAUAUAUUUAAAAGUUUGGAAUUUAUAUAUAUACUUUUGGAAGCUAAAGGAUUAAAUAUUACUAAAAAGUGAAGCUAAGGGAUUUAUUGUGCAAUUUUGGGUUAGUGGACCAAUUAAUUCAAACCUUUGACCCAUUUUCUCUCAUUUCACCCUAUUUCACACACACACACACACAGUAACUUACGGGAAGCAGAGACCGAGAAAGAAGAGAAAAAGAGGAAAAGAAGAAGGGAAAAAGGAAAAGAAAAAGGAAAAGAAGAAGGGAAAAAGAAGAGGAAAGGAGGUAAGGUUGAUAUCUUCAAGUUGGGUUGAAAUUUUCCAUUUGUUUUAGGUGAUAAAGUAUGAAUUAUGUUAAAAUUUUUAGGGUUUUAACUUGUUGAAUAAUAUGUCGAAUUUUAGGGAUAUUUGCACGAAUUGGAGCUCAAGUGUGGGGAUUUAUUCAUUUCAAAUUUUCAGCAAGGUAUGGAGAUGUCAAAUUUUUGGGAAAACCCUAGAAUCCGAUUUUGGGGAUUUUAAUUAAUUAAUUGUGAAGUGAUUAUGUAAAUGAAAUAUUUCACUUGGGAAUUGAUUUUAUGGAACAAAUGUAUAUUAUGUGGGUGGAAUUGUGGUUACUAGUUUCAUUAGAUUGGAGAGAAAAAUUAGUUUUAAAUUUGAAACGAUGGUUAUGUUGAUAAAUUAGUGAUUAACCAAGGGAUUAUAAGGUGUGAUUAGCUCCAAUUAAUAAAGGAAAAUUUGAGAAUUUAUUUAAGUACCAAGAGCAUUUAAAUUAUGUUCUAUUAUUAAAUAUUAAGGUUUCUUGAUUUGAUAGUGGAUAAACUGGUUAUCAUUAUCGUAUUUCAGGAGGUAACGAGGCGAUUGGAAACGUCUAUCAGCCUAUCUAGUUUGUAGCUCAUACCUUGUGAGUGGAAAAAACUUAUUUUUCAGAAAUAAGUCUUCAUUAUAUUUUAAAGUUAUUUAUUGUAUAAAGUUGACUUCAUAGCAUGAUUUUUAGAAUAACUUGGAUUUUAUUAACAAUUGCUUUUAAAAUUAAAUUCAGUUCAAUUAAAUCAUUUGACUAGCAUGUUAUAUGAAUAUAAAUGUUUCAGUAUAGCUAAAGUUAUUUUAAAACCAUUAGAAAGUACCCAGGUGAUUUUACCCCAGUUUGCACUGAUGUGAAUGUGUUUCCACAGUGUAUAACUAGUUAUAGUGAUUUUACCCUCUCUGCACUAUCGUGAAUGUGUUUCCAUAGUGUAUGACCAGAUUAUCAGAGGUCUUUGGGACCUACUCUCGUACACACAUAGGCUUUGGGCUGUGUACUAGGACGAUUAGCCUUUGGGGCAGCUCUGCGUACGUAUGACCAGAUUAUCAGAUUAUCAGCUAUCAGAUUAUCAUAUUUGAAUGGCUUUGCCUUGUACAUCGAGAUUACUCUGUACAUGAGUAAGGCUAUUCAUUGGGUACUCUUUUUGGUGUGAUUUUUCAGUAUUUAUUCUAUUAUCAGAUUUCAGAUUAUGGAAUUCAGUUAAUUUAGUUUUCAGAAUAAAGCUUUCAACUUAUGGUAUUAAGGCAGCAAUAUUUCAUAAUUUUUCAUGGAUAUCAGAGUAUUUAUAGUCAUUAUGUUAUACAGUUGCCUUUCUAGAAUUAUGUCCAAGAAAUUAUGAUAUGAUCAUGUAUAGUUUUUUUUUUAAAAGUGUUACUAUUUUUUUCAAAAGUUCUUAACGUUAAAUAGUGCACGAAUUUUCAGAAAAUAGCAUAAAUGGAAAAGUUUAUUUAUUUUCAACUAUCCACUCACUGAGUUAUAAACUCAUAUCUUUUUACCAUGUUUUCCUAUCAGGAGAAGGUCGAUUUUGAGAUAUUUGGGAAAGCCCGCUGAAGCAAAAAGAGACCGUUUUAUAAGUAUGUAAUGAAUAGUUGGGAAACUUAUGUUUAUUAAGUAAUUGUCUAAUUUUGGGUGACAAGCAUAUUCGUAGAAGGGUUUGUAAGUGAUUUAAUACUUGCAUGUUGACAAGAUGAUGUUGUAGAAGCACUCAGUCGAAUUUUGUUAUAUUUUGUAGUAGUUGUGGUGGUAUUAGAGGAAGUUGUGGUUUCCAAAACUUUUGGUUUAAAUGCCUAUUUGAGAUUUUGAUGAUUUUUCAGGUUGGUUUUAUCCAUGUUACAAGGGAAACUCUGUCAAAAUUUUCAUAGAAAUUAGCACAGUCAAAAUAGGUCAAAUUUACCUUGGUGGCGGGUCCGACAUUUAGUUGGCAUCUACUACCGGCGCACGACACGUGUCGAGUCAAUUAGGUUGAGUCGGGACGGGCCGUGUCAUUUACGUUGGUGGGAUCAUUCCAUUAGGGGGUCACAAACACUGGACGAAUCUUAAGAAUGGACACAUCCUCCCACCUAAAUCAAAGAGACCAACGGUCGAUCAAAGAAUUCUAGGAGUACAAAGCUCGAGUCCAUCAAUCCGAUCACAUGUGACAUGCGGAUGCUGCGAAGGGAAAUGUCAUAUUAAAAGAACUAAUAAGCAACCUCUGUUGUUGUGCCACGUGAGAAAACGAAAGCAUGGAUAAGAUAUCAAUUAUGUUUUUUUCUAAUCCAUUUAUGUAUUUGAUCUUUAUGCUACUACGAAAUAUAUGUAAUCAUUUUAAAUUAUGAUUUAUAUGUAAUCCUUUUACAUAUUCCCUAUAUCUGCUUGUAUAUUAAUUCGAAAUAGAGUAAUUAAAUAUGAAAUAAAUAAAACACAUGAUUAACGAAAUAUUAAAAGAAUAAAUUAAAUUGAAUAAUAUUUUUUUACCUAACCAAUUAAGAUAAUUAAUUAAAGAAAUAGUGAAAUGAAAAAUCGAAUAAAUAUUAUUAUUUUUAUUCAAAUAAAUAAUCGAAAUAAAUAAUAUACAUAAUUAACGAAAUAUUUAAAAAAUAAAUUAAAAAACAAUAAUUUUUUUACUUAACGAACUAAAAUAAUGAAUUAAAAAAAUAGUAAAAGGAAAAAUCGAAUAAAUAUUAUUGAAAUAAAUAAUCGAAAUAGAAUAAUUAAAUAUAAAAUAGAUAAAACACAUGAUUAACGAAAUAUUUAAAGAAUAAAUUAAAUUGAAUAAUAUUUUUUUUACCUAACCAAUGAAGAUAAUUAAUUAAAGAAAUAGUGAAACGAAAAAUCGAAUAAAUAUUAUUAUUUUUAUUCAAAUAAAUAAUCGAAAUAAAUAAUAUACAUAAUUAACGAAAUAUUUAAAGAAUAAAUUAAAAAGCAAUAAUUUUUUUACUUAACGAACUAAAAUAAUGAAUUAAAAAAAUAGUAAAAGGAAAAAUCGAAUAAAUAUUAUUGAAAUAAAUCGAAAUAGAAUAAUUAAAUAUGAAAUAUAUAAAACACAUGAUUAACGAAAUAUUUAAAGAAUAAAUUAAAUUGAAUAAUAUUUUUUUUACCUAACCAAUUAAGAUAAUUAAUUAAAGAAAUUGUGAAACGAAAAAUCGAAUAAAUUUGUAAAUAAUAUAUAUAUAUAUAGUCAGAUAAUUAACGAAAUAUAAUUUUUAAAUAAAUAUUAAAUAGUCAAAUAUGUGGAAAUUUUUUUGUUUAACUGUUUUAAUAUGUGAUUAGAUGAAUUUAUUUAUUGGUUUAUUAAUAUGAAAUUUGAUUGGUUAAAUUUGAAGGUACGAUAUUUUAUUUAAAAUUUCUUUUAUAUGGUUUUAACAUGUAUUAAUUUUGUAGGAUGGAAUAUCAUAUCGACAACGAUCUGAGGGCUCAUUCGGGAAAAGUUACGACGUAUUGUAACUUUUCCAGCUAUGCGACGGUACUUGAGGGGCUGGACGAGGAGGAUAUUGACUUACUCCGUCGAUCGUUUUUAUGGUCGUUCUAUCCGUUGAAGGACGUGCAGUUCUCUGGACAAAUUGUUGAUUCUUUAUUACUCCGGCUGCUUAAACCAGUCGAUGGCGAUCAGUUAUAUUUUGCUAUUGGGGACGGGAAGGUAUGUAGAUUCUCGAUCCUUGAAUUUGCCCUGAUUACGGGCUUGAGAUAUAUCGGGGAAGAAGAAGUUAGAGCCCGUAUUAUACGAAAUAAAAGGUUAUUGGAUUUAUAUUUUGGAGGUAAAGGGCCAGUUACACCACCACAGUUAGAGGACGCAUUUAGGAAAUGCGAUCACCUGUUAGACAAGUUGAAGUUAGGGUUGGUGUAUAUACUGGAGAAUAUAUUGAGGUGUCGACAUCGUAGGACGUCGAUUGAUCUUUUUUCAUUGGAUGUUGUUGAUGAUAUCGAUGCUUUCAACAGCUUUCCAUGGGGUCAGAGAUGUUACACCGAUACUCUCCAUGUAUUCAGAAGGGUACACACUAUGCCGAAAUCGGAGAGGGGCGAUCGCAAAUAUGAUGUAUAUGGCUUUUGCAUGGCUUUGCAGGUAAAUAUUCAGUGUAACGUAAUGCGUGUUGAACUUUUUUAUUAAAUGUAUAUGUAAAGUUUUAUUUUGUAAUUGUUGCAGUUGUGGGCAUAUGAGGCUAUCCCUGCUUUGGGUAGCAAAUGGGCGAUCAAAAGGGAGACCAGCUGCCCACGAAUGCUUCAUUGGCGAGCACAUGAAAAGCCAUCGGCUAAAGAUUUGAUAGUUAUCCUCGACGAUCCUCAGGUGAGUAUUAUAUAUUUGCAAUUUAUAUUGUACAUACAUUUACUCGGGUCGAUACAUGUUCGUUAACACGUUGAAAUAUGGUAUGUCAGCUCGAAGUUCAUGCUGAGUUGGUUGUCUCGGUGGAAAAGGAGGAUGCAAUAUAUGUACGUGAAUUACUUGUUCCCCCUACUGAAGACGAUCCAGUAUUUGAGUCCGUUCCGAAUAGAAAUAUAAUACGUUUAUUUAAGUUCAUUAUUUAUUUUGAUUUAUAAAUUCAUGUGUGGAUUAUUAAUAUUAAUUGUCUUCUCUGUGUAGGAGCGCCAUCCGGAACUUCCACUUAGCAGAUCUCCUUCGCCUCCACCGAUGAGAUCUCCGUCACCUCCACCGAUGAGAUCGCCUCUACCGCCAUUAUCUCAUUCUCCGAGGAUAUCUUCGUCUCCCAUACCCACCCACCUCCCACAUGGAUCGCCUACACCCAGUCAGACCCGUCAUUCAAAUGAUUUCUUUGCACGCAUGACUGGCAUUAUUAGAGAAGAGCUGGGAACGAUGCGACGUGAUUUUAUGACAGAGGUAGUCGCAUUACGAGAGGAGAUAGGGGUAUUACGACGGGAUUUUACGACAGAGAUCGUCGCAGUACGAGAGGAGAUAGGGGUGCUGCGACGAGAUUUUACGACAGAUGUAGUAGCUUUGCGAGAUGAGAUUGGAGUGCUGCGACAAGAUAUAGGAGACCUUCAUACUGAGGUUGCAGCACUUCGAGACGAUGUAGCAGGCGUCCGAGGGAAUGUCGGGGAGACUGGUGUCCCUCGAGAUUGGUGGGCAACGGCCGGGAGAAUCGAUGAGUUUUUUGGUUCGGUGCUGGAGGCCGAGAGGGAAGGGGUGGAGGUCGGGCAGGAGGAGGCCGGGAUGCUCGGGAUGGAGGUCGGGCCGGAGGUGCCGGAGGAGGCAGAGAUAGAGGGGGUGGAGGGAGGGACAGGGGUGGCCGAGGAGGUAGCGGAGGGGACAUCAGAGGUGGUAGUAGAGGGGGAUGAUCAGGUUGCGGAGGAUGAGAGGACGCCGGAGAUGACGGAUGACGAGGUAGUAUUCGUGUCUGAGGGGGCGACGGAGGUCUCGAAGGGUAAGAAGUGUGCUGCUGACGCGCCAGAGCUGAUGGUCGGUAAGAGAUCAAGAUUGCCGUCACAGUACGUCGUUUCUCCCUACACGGUCGAGGCGAAGAGAAGGGGAUUUGUGGAUGGGGCGUACCCCAAUCUUUUUCGCGACGUCGACCCAGUCAGACAGAAGGCGUUCGAUGAUUGGUUCAAAUCCCUUAAGUUCGAGUAAGUAUUUUAUGAUGUUGCUACUAUUUUUUUGUAUCUUUGAUAACUGUUUUUUCAUUUUUCAGAGAUAGUUAUACCAUCGGCUGUAUGACCGUGCACAAUGCUAAAAAGUGGUUUGAAGAUGUACUGACGACCUCAGUUUGGCUCGCUGAUGAUGUAAGUUUUUUGAGUUUUCGUUUAUUAUAUUUAUACAAGUUGUUGGUUCAUUUACUUAAAUGACUCUAUCUUUUUUGUUGGUGUUUUUUUGUUUCAGCAUAUCGACUUGGCUAUGGAAUUGUUACGUGAUCGGGCGCAGAGAUACCCGAGAUCUUAUGACAGUCCUACUCGAGUUAUCUUGAGCGCUGAGUUCGUUCGUGUCGUAGAUAUUGAGCAUCAGGAGCUCCUAAGCAAGGGGAAUGAUUAUGUUCUGUCUGAGUACAUGCUGGAGUGGGUGAUUGGACUACAGUUGAGGUGCGGAAAGCCGUGGACGGAUUGUACACAUAUGUACAUUCCAGUGAUCACGAACUCACACUGUUUUUCGGUGGAGAUCGUAUUUGCUGAUUCCACCAUAUAUGUGUAAGAUUCUGAUCAUAGCUGUCUGACACAAGGUCAAUUGGAGCAAAUACUGGAGCCAUUGACUGUGAUCGUGCCCAUGAUGGCUAGUCAUGAGAUGAUUCGAGUAAAUGAUAGAUUAGCCAUUGUGCGGAACACGACGACGGCGAGACAAGAAAGAUCGUAAGGAUUUACAACUUUUAAAUUUUCAGAUUUAAUUUUCAAUUAUAUGUUAUGGAACUAAUAUCUUCUACUUCGGUUGCAGGGGUGACUGUGGCUUAUUUGCAAUCAAGUACAUAGAGUUCUUGAGCAUUGGUCGCAAUGUUGAUACAAUAAAUUAGUCUUGGAUUGAUAUGUGGAGACAUAAAUUAGCUUGCGACUUGUAUGAAUAUAACUGUGAUCCUUAGUACAUUGUAAAUUAUUUUAUUAAAAUGUAAAUGUUGUUUACUUCAGUAGGAUUCGUGUUGUACUGAAAGAAAUAAAUAAUCGAAAUAGAGUAUAUUGUAUGAUAUUAUUUUAAAAAUUUAAAUGAUAAUCGGGAAUUAAAUGGACUAAAUCGGAUGCAAUUGGAAAAAAGUAAAAGGAAAAAUCGAAUAAAUAUUAUUCAAAUAUGAAAUAAAUAAUAUACAUAAUUAACGAAAUAUUUAACGAAUAAAUUAAAAAANNNNNNNNNNNNNNNNNNNNNNNNNNNNNNNNNNNNNNNNNNNNNNNNNNNNNNNNNNNNNNNNNNNNNNNNNNNNNNNNNNNNNNNNNNNNNNNNNNNNNNNNNNNNNNNNNNNNNNNNNNNNNNNNNNNNNNNNNNNNNNNNNNNNNNNNNNNNNNNNNNNNNNNNNNNNNNNNNNNNNNNNNNNNNNNNNNNNNNNNNNNNNNNNNNNNNNNNNNNNNNNNNNNNNNNNNNNNNNNNNNNNNNNNNNNNNNNNNNNNNNNNNNNNNNNNNNNNNNNNNNNNNNNNNNNNNNNNNNNNNNNNNNNNNNNNNNNNNNNNNNNNNNNNNNNNNNNNNNNNNNNNNNNNNNNNNNNNNNNNNNNNNNNNNNNNNNNNNNNNNNNNNNNNNNNNNNNNNNNNNNNNNNNNNNNNNNNNNNNNNNNNNNNNNNNNNNNNNNNNNNNNNNNNNNNNNNNNNNNNNNNNNNNNNNNNNNNNNNNNNNNNNNNNNNNNNNNNNNNNNNNNNNNNNNNNNNNNNNNNNNNNNNNNNNNNNNNNNNNNNNNNNNNNNNNNNNNNNNNNNNNNNNNNNNNNNNNNNNNNNNNNNNNNNNNNNNNNNNNNNNNNNNNNNNNNNNNNNNNNNNNNNNNNNNNNNNNNNNNNNNNNNNNNNNNNNNNNNNNNNNNNNNNNNNNNNNNNNNNNNNNNNNNNNNNNNNNNNNNNNNNNNNNNNNNNNNNNNNNNNNNNNNNNNNNNNNNNNNNNNNNNNNNNNNNNNNNNNNNNNNNNNNNNNNNNNNNNNNNNNNNNNNNNNNNNNNNNNNNNNNNNNNNNNNNNNNNNNNNNNNNNNNNNNNNNNNNNNNNNNNNNNNNNNNNNNNNNNNNNNNNNNNNNNNNNNNNNNNNNNNNNNNNNNNNNNNNNNNNNNNNNNNNNNNNNNNNNNNNNNNAUUAACGAAAUAUGUAAUGAAUAAAUUAAAUUGAAUAAUAUUUUUUUUACUUAAACAAUUAAAAUAAUUACUUAAAGAAAUAGUAAAAGGAAAAAUCGAAUAAAUAUUAUUCAAAUAAAUAAUGGAAAUAGAGUAAUUAAAUAUGAAAUAAAUAAUAUACAUAAUUAACGAAAUAUGUAACGAAUAAAUUAAAUUGAAUAACAUUUUUUUUACUUAAACAAUUAAAAUAAUUACUUAAAGAAAUAGUAAAAGGAAAAAUCGAAUAAAUAUUAUUCAAAUAAAUAAUGGAAAUAGAGUAAUUAAAUAUGAAAUAAAUAAUAUACAUAAUUAACGAAAUAUGUAACGAAUAAAUUAAAUUGAAUAAUAUAUUUUUUAAUUAACCAAUUAAAAUAAUUACUUAAAGAAAUAGUAAAAGGAAAAAUCGAAUAAAUAUUAUUCAAAUAUGAAAUAAAUAAAAUACAUGAUUAACGAAAUAUUUUUUUUACUUCACCAAUUAAGAUAAUUAAUUAAAGAAAUAGUAAUCUCUCCAUAUUGUUAGUUAAUAUAUAUAUCGUUGUCUCACUUAUUUUAAAAGAAAACAAACAAAUACAUGACACAUAGAAAAUACAUAUGACAAAUGUGAUAAAAAUAAAAAGAGUAAUUAAACAAUGUGAUAAAGAUUACAUCCGAUUUCAAUUCAGAAAAUCACAAACACAUGACAAAUAGAGAAUACAUAUGAUUUAUAUAGAUACUACACAUCCGUCGAGUCAUUGUUUAGUGGAAUCUGGCUUGUACAAAAUCGACGUGUAUGUCCUGUAGCACCGCACCUCCCGCACUUACACGGUUGUGGAAACUCUCCUGUAGAUGGUAUUCUAGACGUCCGUCUACGACCAGGAGUAUGCGGUGGAGCUUCAGGUGGCAAUAAAUUAUUAAGUGCUACAAUAUAAUCAGGAACUUCCCACUCGGCUUCAUUUGGUAGAGGAAAUAUAGUUUCGGCAUACGCUGCUCUCCAAAAAUCAGUCAUAUAAUAAUGACUGCACAAGCUGUGUGGUGGAAAUCCUCUAUACAUAGCCACUGCGACAGCAUGUGCACAUGGAAAACUUUCCAACUGAAAUUUUCUGCACGUGCAGGUAUUGUCAUUCAAGUCUACAAUGUAUCCAACAUUGCGCCCGCAUCUCACGAAGAAGCGAAAUUGAUCUAGUGGUUCCACAAAUAGAGCUUUUGCCACUUCCAGAGUUUUGAAUAGUCGAUCUUCCUGUGCCGGAGCUAUCACACUCGUGCAAUUUUGGGAUUCUUCACGUCGGUCAUAAAACCACUGUUGCAACUUGCUGCAAAUAUGUUCAAUCAUUGCGAGAAUCAGUAACUCUCAAUCCUUCUUGAAUAAUGCAUUCAGCGACUCUGCAUUAUUCGACGUCAUCAUGUUGUAUCGACGUCCUAGAAAAUGUGACCGUGCCCAAUGUUCAACCCCCAUUUCUGAUAGAUAUUCCCAUGCACUUUCUGAUUUAUGUUCUAUUUCGCCCAUGAACUUUGUAAACUCUUCAAAGCUGUAAGCUUCUGCAGCUCUCCUAAACAAUGCAACGAUGCCACUGCCCCGGUACCUAGUCUUCAGAUUGCCCUGAAUGUGGUACAUGCAAUAACCAUGAUGUGCUUCUGGAAAAACUUCGGCUAUACCAUUUAUUAUUGACUGCCCCCGGUCAGUCACAAAUGCAAGGUUCUCGAUGUUCCCAAUUACUUCUCUCAACUUCGUGAAGAACCAACGCAUUGCUAGAUCAUUCUCUCCAUCGACUUUGCCAAAUGCAAAAGGGUAAAUUUGGAAAUUGGCAUCUUGACAAGUAGCAAUAAUCAACUUUCCUUCAUAUUUAGCUCUUAAGGUUGUACCAUCAACUAGAAUUAGAGGUCGCAUAGCAUUUCGAAAACCUCUAAUGCAUUGUCCAAGAGCCAUAAAAAAAUACUUGAAGCGAUUCUGCCCAUCGGUUUCAAUAAAAAACGUCGAGUCAGAAUUAGUUCUCACCAUGUUGUGGCAAUACCUGGCCAAUUUGGCAUAACUCUCCUCUGUCGAACCCAUUAAAUCUUCCAAUGCACAUUCUUUAGCCUUCCAGGCCUUCUGGUAACUCAUAACCACCCCAUACUCUCGACGGAUGUCGUUGAUGAUAUCUGUAGGUCUGUAAAUCGUCCGUGGAUCAUGAAACUUGUGCAUUAUCUGUCGACCAAUAAACCAUGAUCGAGCUUGCCUGUGAUCAUUUUGACGAAUACCCACUUCACAAGUAUAUUCCCGCGCAUACUUACGAAUAACAAAGAACUCAUUUGUGUCCAUCUUUGUCGCACUCAAAUGCCAACUGCAAUUGUUGUCCACACAAAUAAUUGUGUAUGUAGACUUAUUUAAUUUUUUUACCUUAAACUCAAAAUUAUGUUUCAUAGCAAUUCGGUGCACCGCUUCUUGCAAAUCUCUUUUCGUGUCAAACAAUUGAUCGACAUGUAAAUCUUCAUCAUCAGGAACUACACGCGAACAAUUAGAAGACCGUGUACUCGGCCCAGCAUGUGAGCUCCCACCAGACUCAUGUCUCUGUCUGGAUAAAGCAAUCAAAUCCUGAUUUGUAAAUGGCCUUUCAUCCUCGUUGUCUUGAACUUCCUCGUAAAUCCUUCGUGUAACGGUGACAUCAUGGUGAGUAGCAACUGCCCCAGGAAUAACCACAUCAUCCUCCCGAGCAAUCUCAACAGUAUCCCAAAAAUCAUUCUCAUUACGAUCCUCUCCAUCAAAAACUUCGUGUUCACCCUCGAUGACAUUUUUCUUCAACAAACUUACGCAAAUAGGAGUCGUCUUUCGACCUUGGUUCAAUUGAAUUAGAUGCUUUAUUUGCGCUUCAGAAGUAACUUUCAAAGGUGGAAUCGAAAUUGUUGAAUGCUUUUGAAAUAAAAAUCCCAAUUCCAUAUCGUACUGAGAGGAAUCGACGUUAAGCAUGUUUAGUAUUUCACUGUACAUUUCUGUAAACGAAGUAUUUUUUGUUAUCGAAAUAGCAGCAACCCCUUCUCCUUCACUCGUCCAUUUCCAUUCCCAUUGACCAUUUUCUUUCCUUUGAAAUUCGCCGAAAUAACAGAUUGGGACACACGCUUUUGCCAUAUCUGCAUUACGAAUUAAAAAUAUCAGAACAAAUUAUCAGAAAUAAAAUUAUCAGAAUCGAGGGGCGGGGGAGUCUGCAAACAGACGGUCCGGUCCGUCUGUAACGGACGGUCCGGAUGUAAAAUCCGGCGUUCCGGCGUCUGAUCGGUGCCGGCCUGAACUUUGGUUCUAAUAUUAUUUUUUCUACCAUUUAAAAUAAAUAUACGAUUUGAAUAAAAAUAAAAUUAAAUACUACGGAAAGAUACUUACCGAAUUGAAGUGCUGAAAUUUAAUUAAAUUUUUCUGUUGAGGUUGAUAACUGAUAAGUUUAUGAAAUUUUGAGGUUGAAGUGGAUGAAAAAUGGAAGAGUUUUUAUCGUGUUAGAGUAAACUGAUGAAAAGACUGACUUCGUUUUCAAAUUUCAAUUGAGCCUUGUUUGGAUUUUUAUUUGUAACUUAAGGAUAUUUUUAUCUUUUUACCAUAUUUCUAUUUUUGUAAUUAUAUAACUCAUUUAAGGGCGUUUUUAUCUUUUACACAAGAAAUGGCUAUUGUAAUGAAUGUUAGAUUUUUAUGAUUAAAAUGAAAAAUGAUUAAUUUGACAAAGUCAAACUUAAAAGUAGCCCGUUAUAUUAUUUUGUUGUAGUAAUGGCUGUAGAUUAGUUAGGGUGAGAAGGGAGGAGAACUCAUCAAUUGAAGGCAAAAUUAAUUUUUUCCCCUACUAUUUUCUCUUUCUUUGUAGCAUUGGCUUCCUCUCAAAUACCAUAACGCAAGGAGUGACAUUGCAGAUAGAUAUCUACAAAAGAUAGAUGGUGGCACAAGAAGGCUUGCCUAUUAAUUUUUCCAUGAGCUCGUACGCAUUAAGAUGCCGAUACCUGCUAUUUUCAUCAAUUUUCUACAAAGAUUACGGAAGCUCCUUUAAAUUUUCUGUGUUGGAAUCUAUAUGUUGGUAAUAAUUCAUUUGUUUUCUUUUAUUUCAAUUUGAAGGCGUGAUUAUCUGAAUAGAUUGUGUCCGGGCAACUCUAAUGAGAAAUUCAGAUCUAAAGUUCCUACAAGAAGGUAUCUCGCUACCUGUUUAAUAGAAUUUAUCUGCUGGUGAUGAAUACUGUUUGUACACUAAUGAGGCACAUUUUCAAUCAAAAGAUUUUUUUUUUGAAUUGUUUCAGAUACACUAGAAAAUUCGAUUUGUUGUUGUUCAUCUUGUUUCUAGAAAUUUCCUUGCUACAUUCUUGAAUGUUUCCGUUGAUUGAUAUAUUACUAUUCACAAGCAUUCCAAAGUAGACCUGUUUGUGAAUGUAUGGAUGAGAAGAAAGUUGGAAAGUUCUCCGGGCACUUGAGUUGACUUUAUAUUCAGUUUCUCAUGAAUAGUGUUUUCACAUGUCUAUCUUUUGCUCUCAACAGAUUAUUGACAUUUAGAAUCAUAAUUUGGCACUGAUAAUAUCACUAGAUGGUAGUUUUGUUGCGUCUAUGGUAGUAUUUCUCAGCGCUUCAUGGACAUUUUCAUUUUAUUGCUUCACCUCAUUUCUUGAAUUACCCUUUUAGUUGAACUUGUAUCCUCGUGAAUUCAAUUUCUCUUAUCAUCCAUUUGCUACAGCCAUAACAAUGACUAAUCUGGAUAAUUGUUAACGUGCCUUUGCUUUUCCAUAGGAAAACAUUGCAUGAUACUUGCAAUUGUCUUUACACCUGUAUAUGAGUUAAAAAAUCUUCAUUUUGUAUGUGAUGUUUCAGGUUUUUGGAGACUUUGCCAUUGAAAGAACGGUGCAAAACUUGGCGUCUUGAGGUCUGUUCCUACUAACUUUGAUCUCAAAGCCGUAUUCUAUCCUUCUGGUCACUCCUUACAUGUAUAACAUGGAUUAAACAGCAAUUUCAGUUUGAUUAUUUCUUUCUUUUUUUUCCUUUUUUUUUUUUUGCGCGAUUGAUGUAUGAAGUUGAUGGAACAUGGUUCUCCAAAUCAUGGAUUUGACGCUCUAAAGCACCUAGCUCUAGAUGAUUCUGUUGAAGAAGUUUUGGAAGUCCUGCAGGAAUAUGCUCGAUUAGUCCAAGGACUGUGGGUUCCAAAGAGUUCGCUGGUACAUGGAACAGAUUCAGGAAUUGAAGUUUGAGCCAGGGUCUAUAUUCUUCUAUUGUUUAGAAAGAAUCCACUAGUUAACGAUUGACAAAUACCUCAACGUCCUCAACUUCCUAAAGCAAUGAAAGACUUCCUAAAUGUAUUGGCUGUUGAGAGACCCAUCCUCCUUCAGUGAUUGGCAACUCAGAGAGCUUCCCGAUCGAAGAUUCAUAAAACUCAAUCCUACUGUUGCAAAGAAACAAGAAGAAGAAUGGGAAUCCUUGGAAAAGAAGACAAAUGAUCCUCUGUUUGGAGGAAGAAACGAACCUAGUACAAAGACUUCUUCAAAGUCUAAUGUCAUAAACAAUCCGGCCACGUCAAUGAGUUCCAGUAAAUUAGCUCUCAAAACUCCAAAUGAGGAAUCCUCGAGGACGCCAAUGCCAGAGACUUGAGAAGCUUUAAUGAAGGCCCUUUAGAACCUUUUAAAAGGCAUCAAGGUUUGCAGGUGAGAUCACUUUAUUACAUCAAGCCCUUAGUUUCAAAUAGUAGUUAUAUGUGGUCAUAGUUUCAAAUAGUAGUUAUAUGUGGUCAUAUUUUUUAUUGAAGAUAGUUUUCGUCACUGCAUUGACGUUUUGUAUUCUAAAUCACUAGGUCACAGUUAUAUUGCAUUUUAUUUGAUUAGUAUUUGUCGAUUUUCUUUGCAUGCAGUAAGUGCUGAUGUGACCUUGACAUUCAUGGCCUUUUCUGGCCCUAGCUCAUUAAAAAAAUUGAGACAUGGUAUAGUAACUAGAAGAGAUGAGGAAGACGAGUGGUCUUGUGAAUUAUUUCUCUGCUUGCACUUAGGACACUAGUAGGAUUACAUUUUUGCAUUAACUGGGCUGGAGCAAUUGACACUGUUUAACAAAAUGCCAAUGGACCAUAUUUAAACAUUUUUUUGUUAUUAUUACUUUUGUAUUACUUAUAUUCUUAAUGCAGAGGCAAAGAAACUAGUUUGAAUUUUCUUAUUUAAUUAAAAUUUAUUUAAGCUAAUGUGCCCUUUAAUCUAGGAAACAUAGGAGUGUUAUGGUUUUCCUGUGGCAGUUUAGUUUGAUUGUCAAUAGAUGGAAUUUACUUGGCGCUAUGUAUGCCAGUUUUCAACAAAUUUGCCAGCGUUUGAAGGACUUGGCAGAUUCUGAGUCCGCCCGUUCCAGGGGAUUUGCCAAAGAGACAGUUGCUGCAGCAAACAGCAUUUGUGCUUUUCCUGAUGAGCUUCAGGCAAUCAUUAGUCGAUUUGCAUUUGAUAUUCAUGGUGUCUAUGUUCCGAAAUCAUUUCCAGAUCAUCCACAAUAUGAUCCAUUCAGGUUACACCUGCCUUCAUUUAUUUUGGUUCUAGAACAUUGAUAUUUUUCUUUUAUUAAGUUCUCUUUAUAAGAAAGGAUCACCAUUUUAUAUCGUUCAUUAUUGAUUUGUGGUUCUUUCUCUUCCAGGAAGGUUGUCAUUGAUCUUCUUAUUGCUGAAGGACCAAAAGCAAAACUCAAAGAGGUUCCCAUAGUCGAGGCUGCUAAGAUGGAACUUAAAAGGGAUAUACCUCAGAUUGGAUAUCAGAAGGUCAGAGUCAAGCUUACAGAUUAAUUAUGAUGAAAUUGUAAUUAGGUGUUGAGAUCAAAUACGCUGUCUCCUUGACACCAUUCAGGCGAACUUACUAUUUCCUGAAAUUUUUUUAAUUAGGUUUUGAUUAAUUUUUGAGGCCUUACGAAAGCACAAACAAGAUUGAGAAUCUGAGGAGAUUGUCACAGGAGAUAUAGGAGAUUACCACUCUCAUUGUGUGGGGGUUUGUGGUUGGGAGGGAGGUAGCCCUAUUUGCCUUGCCCUUAAUCUAGCAUCUAUCUUACCUGCCUAUCAUGACAGCUCCCAAUGUUUUUCCUUCCUAUGAAAGAUUCUUAAGCGUCGCUCAACCUUUGUCACUCACUUCUUUUAAAUGAGCACUUAAUCUAGCAUUAUUCUCAUGAGAGGAAGCUAAGCAAUGGAAUUAUAAAGCAGAGAAAUGUGUAGUGAAUAUACUUUUGAGAGCUGGUGAUAUGUGAUGUGAGGAAAGAUAUAUUAUGCUUGCUCCUAGAAGUUUCCCCAUGCAUAUGCUCUUAGAAUUCCCUCAAUAAUUUAGAAUACUCUUAGUGACCACUGAGCUAAUUUUCUGAUUCUCGUGUGACUGUCUCAAGUCAGACCUCCUUGUGGGAAAAAUAUAUAUACACAUGGUUUCCUAAGCACACAGUCUUAUAGUUUCUUAUAAGCUUCCUAUGCAGAACCUUAGUUACUAGGAAGAGAACAGAGAUAUUUUACUGGUCAUGUCCCCUUCACUGUCACCCUUGAUAUGUUCCAGCACUACAAGAUAAAUAUUAAUUGACCUACUGAGCCUCUUGUCCUCUUCCCUAUUAUCGUCGAUGGAAGCCUCAAUGACUUAUUUGUGAUAAAUUGCUUGCUAAUUUAGGUUAUGUAUUCCCUUAUGUGCUGCAGGUUUUACAGGAACUAUGUCUAUCACAAGGUUUUGAAUGGGUCCUUAAAAGUGGCGAUGGAAAUCCACAAAAGUAAAGUUCAUGCAACCAAAUUCUACGUUAGUCUACGAGGUAAGAAUUAGCAUAUUUACUAUGUAUUACGAUAAGUAAUAAAGUAGACACAUCUCACCACAAGACUUAAUGGAAAAUUUCUAAAUUGCAUGAAAUUCUUGAGCUUUGUGUUCAAGAAAGAAAAUCUCUGCUUAUUCUGUUUACAUGGAUCAUUGUGAUCUGUUGUUGUUUGUCUGAAUUUACCCUUAAGUGCCUUGGUAAUCGAGUUGAUGUGAUGUCUGAGUUUUGCAUUUUGAAAAGAGGAUUUACAUCGUUCCUUGAAGUUAUAUCAGUGCAUAGCAUCAGUUUAAAUCAUCCUUGAAUAUUGCCUAAUUGAUUCUCAUCACAUAUUGGAAUUUGAAAAGUUAAUAGGUCUGUUUAAUGUAAACGCAGAAGUACAUAUACACAGAACAAGGAAUGUGUGUUUACAUAUACGUAUUUGUGUUUAAACUACUAUUAAGAUGGCUGAGGUACAAAAGUCAUUUGUUGAAAAUGGUAAGGAACCUGUUUCUUUGGAAGCAGCAAGGGAUGUAUUCUUGAUAUCUCGAGUGGCUCUUUGAACAUUCAACCUUCAGUGCAGCUAUGAUGAUUUAAAAUAUACAAAGGAUACCAAAUACACUGGGGAUGAGUCUUCCAUGUAAUUAAACACAUUAAUAUAUACCAUCAGAAAUAAUAUUUUGUUAAAUAUAUAUGAUUUCAUGCUGCUACAAUAUUGUAUCCUUCUGUUAGCAUUAAUUCUUUUUCCCUUUAAAAUGUUCGGCCUUAUUGUCACUUGUCAAUACCGUGGUUCAUCCAAACAAUUCAUAUUUGAUAUUGACGAAAACGAAAAAUUAUAAUGACUUGCAAAUGUAUUAAUUCUCUUAAAUGAAUUAAAGAACCUUAGUGCUACAACCUGACUCGUGGUCGUGGUUGUCGUAUUCAAUUUAAUUUUGUGCUCCCAACCCUUGUACCUAAGUCGAAGUGAUGCAGUAGACACCUCGUGCUAUCAGAAUUUUCUUACGAGUGCCUUUGGAAAUUAAAAAAUUCCCUCAAUAAUUUAGAAUACUCUUAGUGACCACUGAGCUAAUUUUCUGAUUCUCGUGUGACUGUCUCAAGUCAGACCUCCUUGUGGGAAAAAUAUAUAUACACAUGGUUUCCUAAGCACACAGUCUUAUAGUUUCUUAUAAGCUUCCUAUGCAGAACCUUAGUUACUAGGAAGAGAACAGAGAUAUUUUACUGGUCAUGUCCCCUUCACUGUCACCCUUGAUAUGUUCCAGCACUACAAGAUAAAUAUUAAUUGACCUACUGAGCCUCUUGUCCUCUUCCCUAUUAUCGUCGAUGGAAGCCUCAAUGACUUAUUUGUGAUAAAUUGCUUGCUAAUUUAGGUUAUGUAUUCCCUUAUGUGCUGCAGGUUUUACAGGAACUAUGUCUAUCACAAGGUUUUGAAUGGGUCCUUAAAAGUGGCGAUGGAAAUCCACAAAAGUAAAGUUCAUGCAACCAAAUUCUACGUUAGUCUACGAGGUAAGAAUUAGCAUAUUUACUAUGUAUUACGAUAAGUAAUAAAGUAGACACAUCUCACCACAAGACUUAAUGGAAAAUUUCUAAAUUGCAUGAAAUUCUUGAGCUUUGUGUUCAAGAAAGAAAAUCUCUGCUUAUUCUGUUUACAUGGAUCAUUGUGAUCUGUUGUUGUUUGUCUGAAUUUACCCUUAAGUGCCUUGGUAAUCGAGUUGAUGUGAUGUCUGAGUUUUGCAUUUUGAAAAGAGGAUUUACAUCGUUCCUUGAAGUUAUAUCAGUGCAUAGCAUCAGUUUAAAUCAUCCUUGAAUAUUGCCUAAUUGAUUCUCAUCACAUAUUGGAAUUUGAAAAGUUAAUAGGUCUGUUUAAUGUAAACGCAGAAGUACAUAUACACAGAACAAGGAAUGUGUGUUUACAUAUACGUAUUUGUGUUUAAACUACUAUUAAGAUGGCUGAGGUACAAAAGUCAUUUGUUGAAAAUGGUAAGGAACCUGUUUCUUUGGAAGCAGCAAGGGAUGUAUUCUUGAUAUCUCGAGUGGCUCUUUGAACAUUCAACCUUCAGUGCAGCUAUGAUGAUUUAAAAUAUACAAAGGAUACCAAAUACACUGGGGAUGAGUGUUCCAUGUAAUUAAACACAUUAAUAUAUACCAUCAGAAAUAAUAUUUUGUUAAAUAUAUAUGAUUUCAUGCUGCUACAAUAUUGUAUCCUUCUGUUAGCAUUAAUUCUUUUUCCCUUUAAAAUGUUCGGCCUUAUUGUCACUUGUCAAUACCGUGGUUCAUCCAAACAAUUCAUAUUUGAUAUUGACGAAAACGAAAAAUUAUAAUGACUUGCAAAUGUAUUAAUUCUCUUAAAUGAAUUAAAGAACCUUAGUGCUACAACCUGACUCGUGGUCGUGGUUGUCGUAUUCAAUUUAAUUUUGUGCUCCCAACCCUUGUACCUAAGUCGAAGUGAUGCAGUAGACACCUCGUGCUAUCAGAAUUUUCUUACGAGUGCCUUUGGAAAUUAAACCUUAUAUGUGGUAUCGUGUUUGCAGGUGCUACACCAUUAUUAUACUUCUCUGCCAACUUUAUUUAUUCACUAUCUGGAAUUCUAUUUGGCCGGAUUAGGUCACCAGAGUAUGAUUUGCUAUCUAGCAUGAUCUUGUAUGCAGUGAUGAUCUCAGACCAUAGGAAGGCAGGCAAGAUAAAGAAAAAGACAAUAGAUCUCGAAAUUUAACUUCGUUUACAUAUAUGGUUAUUCAUUGUAAAGCUAAAUUAGUCUCUAAGCCAAGGAUCGAUGAGUCUUUUCCUUGUGUUCGUAUUUGUUGACUGGGCAUUGUAAGAAUCUUUUUAGAGGGUAAUUUUUCAUGUCCAUUGCUUCUAAUGGGCUCUUCUCUCAACAUUGAUAUAGGGUAUAAUAUUGAAAUGUUGUGAACUCUUUAAGUCCCUCAAAGAAACCCAAAUGUCGAGUUGUUUAAUGGCUUGUUUGGUUGGACUUUGAAAAAGUCAAAGCUGUUUAUAAGAUUAUCGAUGUUUUUGGAUAAUUUUUAGAAAAUGAUUUGACUGGUUUGAUGAGCUUUUUAAAAUUGAUAACUUUUUACAAGUAAAAGUCUUGUCAAACAGGUGUUAAAGUAUAAGUCCUGUUAAUUGAGUUGAGUGAGGAUUAGUUUGUUCUACUAAAAUGUGCUUUUUACAAUAAAAAGUGGACUAAAGUAGAUCAUGAUAAAUUGAUCUAUAAAUAGCCCAUCUAACUUUAAAAAAAUCGAGUCAUUUUUACAUUGACAUUCAGUGCUUGUUUGGGAAAGUUAAACGGUUGAUUUUGUUAAAAGAAGUGGAAGGUCUUUUGAAAUGAGUGGUGGAAAAGAGAGUAAUACUGGUGAAUUUUGUGUAAUGUAAGAUUACUAUUAAGGGUGGUUAUAUUAUCAUCACAAUAAGUGUUUGGUGCCCUAUAAUUUUCUUAUUUAUUUUAAAAAAUCACUAGUAAAAUGACAUAAGUACCCUAUCUUUUAUUCACUAAUAUAUUUAUUCAUAUGAUCACUAUCAUCCGCACACAAAAAAAUACCUAAAGUCCUAUUUAAAGAUACAAAUGCCAAGAUCAAAAGAUCCAAGAUUGAGGAAAAGAGCAAGAAAUUUUAGGAUAUGGUAUAGGCAUUUUAUAAUAUUGAAUCUAUUAUUUUAAAAGUUCGCUAUAUUUUUCUGAAGAAACUCGUCAUUAUUGUAGAAUAUGCCAUUAUACAACCUGCAAGAGGCAUUGGAUUUGGAGGCUAAAUGUUAUAACCCACUCACUCAUAGUCAAAGUCAAGAAAAUUAUUUAGUCAAAGUCCGAAAUUCAAUUGGUUAAAGUCAAUUUCAAAUAGGGAUUUAAAUGAAAUAAAUUAUUUUAUUGGGGUUUAAUUUAUUAUGAAAAAUAGUUAAAGGUUUAAAAUGGAUAAAACUUAAUUUUAGGGAUCUACUUAUAUAUUAUUGGAAGUAAAGGACUAGAUGCUAUAUUAAAUUGAAGAAUAAGGACUUCCUAUGCAAAAAUGGGUUGUGGAGUGCAUGUGACAAGUAAUUAACCCAUUACUAUUUUCAUAUAAUAAAUACAUACCGAGAGAUGAGGCUGGAGAUGGGCAGAAGCAAGAAAAACCAAGAAAGAGAGAAGGAAAAGGAGAAAAAGAAAAGGGAGAGAGAGAGAGAGAGAGAGAGAGAGAGAGAGAAGGAGAAGAAAAGGAAGCGGGUCUUCAAGCUUGGAUUCUCCAUUUCUUCAUUGAUUUAGAGAGGUAGGUGUAAGUAGGAUGAGUUAUCUUUUUGAGUUUAUGAAAAUUUUCUAAAAUUUAAGGUUUAGCAAAAUUAAUGAUUGUUGAUAUAUGUUUGAGGCAUUAAAAACAACAAUAAUAUUAGUGUUGAAAGGAAGGAAAUUGAAAUGGGUUUGUAAAUUAGAGUUCCAAUCUUUGAAUUAUUGUGUUUACACUUGAUUUAUGAUGAAUUAGAGUGGUAAAAAAAAAUUUAGGUUAGAUUUUGGUAUUUAUAAUAAAUUUUCGAGCAAAAUUCAUGUGCAGGUGCUAUUCAUGAAAUUCUGCCCAGAAAAGUGCCAUUUCUGUCAAUGGUUUUGAUGCCAGAUCUUAAUAUGCAGAAAUUGGUGCCAGGUUUCAAUUUUUUGGGAUUUUAGUGCUGUUUUUGACAAAACACUUAUUUUUCAGAUUUUUAAAGGCUUCAAUGAAGUUAUAUGAUAAGUAUUGAGGUUUAUGUAUUGGAAUAAAUUAUGUAUAGUGCUUGUAUAUGUAUAAGUUAAUGAUUUUAAGGAAGUGUGGGUAAUUUAAUAGAUUUGAUAAUACAUGGUGUUUAGUCGAUGAAUUAAUAAAGAGAAUAAAAGUUGGGGAUUGGAGAUGUAAGAGUAAAUAUAGAAGUUGAGGAGUUAAGUGGUGGAAUUGUAUUGAUUUAAAUAUGAAGUUUCAAUUUGAGUAAUUAUUAUACCGUUAUUUCAGGUAGUGACGUGAAAACUUGAAAAUACUUGUCAAUUUAGCCAGAUUUCUAUCCAUAAAUAUGUGAAUGGAAAAAAUAUAAAUAUUUUUAAAGUAUUUAUAAAUUAAGUAUAUUGUUAAAGUAUGUGCAAUUAUGUUCUCGAAUUAUAUGGUUAUUAUGAAAAUAUAUUUUAUUAUGAUACAUGUGAUAUUUUAAAGAUUGUAUACGGUACAUUGUGAAUUGGAAUAUGAGACAUGAUUUUGAAAUCGACCAAAAUAAUACCCGUGAUUAUAUAUUUCUUCUAGUUCACUGAGGAGUCUUGGCCAUGUUCUAUACAACACUGAAGGGUCUUGGACCGGGGAUGAAGGGGUCUCGACCGUAUACAUAGGGCUGCACAAAAAAAUCAUGAAACCGCAAAUCGAACCGAAACCGUUGAGUUGAAACCAUUGGUUCGGGUCCACAUGGACCCAUAGUUUCUUUUUCGUCAAACCGAACCAAACCGUUUCAAAAUAGUUUGAUUUAGGUUUUGAUUUUCAAAAACUGUACAAAUUGAACGGAACCCUUUUUAAAUUUUUUAAUUAAAACAUUAAUUUUAUUAACUUAAAAAUUUUAGGGUUUUUUCUAUUUCUUUUUAAAUAUCAAUUUAGUAAUACAAAUUAUAACCAACUUAUUGAAAUAAUCAUAAAAAGUAAAUUAUGUUCAUUAUUAUUGACCUAUGAUUUAACAGGUUCACAACAAAUGUCUUACCCGAUAUCUAAACUAAACUAAAAUUAUUCCAAAAUCAUAUGAAAUGAAGAAAAAACACAUAUUUUCACAAUCCAAAUCAUGAUUCAACAAAAUUACGUAAGUAAAUCACGUCCAAAACUUUAGAAGCCCUAACAUAAACUCUCAUUUUCCUAACAUUUGAUGCUUUUCUGCCACUGUUGAACGAUUACUAAUUGCAUUUGUCUGUUUUUGUUAGUCUACUAAUCUCUUCCCGAGUCGUCUCUUUCUCUCUUCUCGUCUUAGAUUCUUAUUCAAUCCAUUUUUCCAUUGUUCUUUCUUUUAUUUUAUUUUUUUGAACUUAUUAUACAUUUGUGAGUUCUGGUUUGGAUAGAAAAAUGAUUAUUCGUGUGCCUAGUUGAUUAAUGAACUUGUUUGUGAUUUGGAAAAAACAAAGGACGGAAUGUAUUGAUUAUAUGAAAAUGUUAAAGUUCCCUAACUAGUGUUAUUACCUUCUACUUUCAUAAAGUAGUUAGAUGAUAAAAUUCGUCAAUUUUCAAUAAGUCAAAAAUCUAUUAAUCUUUGUACAUCUAAAUAUAUCACGUUUAAUUCUUAUUUUACAUCUCACUAGCAAGACGAAAGGAAUUUUAACCAAACUAUAAUAACAAAAUGUAACUCUACCUUUACCAAUAGUUAUAUGACAAUGCGAAUGUCAAAUAAGAAAAGAUAAAUAAAAAUGAAGAAAGAUGUAUUUGUUCUAUUAACAUCUUUUAGAAAACAACUUUGAAAAUAAUUUAUUCACGGGUUUCAUAGUAAUUAUGAAUGUAAUUUAACAUUUAACAUAAUUAGUUAUUGUUUAAACUUAUAUUUAAUUUAUGUUAAAUACAUUACUAUAAUGUCGAAAAGUAAACCGCAGAUUAAAACCGAACCAAACCGCAAAUUAUGGUUUGGUUUGAUUUGAAAAAAUUUCAAACCGCAUAAAAUGGUUUGAGUUGAAGAUAUAGCACAAACCGCCCAAAUCGAACCGCGAUCACCCCUACGUGUACAUAUAGUUCACUGAGAGGUCUUGACCGUACUCUAGAAUUGAUUAUGAGAGGUAUUUGAGAUCAUCGUUCAUUCAUGGAGGGAGUCAAACGCCCGUGGUAAAAGUUCUUAGCCCGAGGGGUGGAUUACAUAUUUCAGUCAGAGGGUACAUUUUUGGUGAAUUUUUUAGCAUGCUUGAUGUGAUGAGAUUAUAGCGUGGUUAUCAGCUGAUAUUUAUAUCAUGAUUUUGAGAUGAUAUUUUACAACGUUAUGUGAAUGUUUCACUUUUGGUUAUAAUUACAUAAUGUUAUCUUGUGAAGUAUUAAAUGAUAUGAACUCGAUUUUUGAUAGAAAUGUAAAAUUGAAAAGGUAUAAUUAUUUUCGAACUUCUUCACUCACUGAACUAUCAACUCAUAUAUUUUCCCACGAUUUUUCCUACAGGUAGCAAUUGAUUCUUUUUAGCUGAAGAGCCUAAUGAUUUUGGAAUGAAAGCCACACAGUAUGUUGAAUAUUAUAACUCAUAUUGAUGAAAUAUGAAGUAAAUAUUUUGGGCCCAUCGCAUUAUGUUUUACAUAAGCAUUUGAUUUUGUUGUAUUUUUUUGAAGUAACUCAUAGUCAGCCUUGAUGAUAGAUUUGACAUCUAGUCAGCAUCUAUCUUCGGUGCACGUCUCGUCUCGGGUUCACUAAGGUGAUUCGGGAUGUGUUGUGUCAGAGUGGUAUCUAAGCAUGGUUUUGAAAAUUUUUAUGGUUUAUGCAUGCUCAGUGGGUAUGAUCACAUGUCGUGGUGAUAGAAAUCAUAAGCUCUCUAACUCGAAUGUAUGAAACCAAAAAUAAUAGAAAAAUAUUUUUUUAACUGAUUUAGAAGCGACUCGUAUGUAAGUAUGGUAGUUGUAAUGAUCUAAUGGUUGGAAAUGAUAUUAGUUGUUGGGUUGAAACUAUGUGUGUAUGUAACCUAUUAAGAUUUGAACAGAUUGUGAUGAUUUUGUAGGGCAUUUGAAGUUACAGAUAUUACAACCACUUAAUUAUCAAUUUAUUUGUAGAACUACAUGAUUUUUUUUAUGAGUACAUAGGAAAUUUUUUAGCUAUAGCUUGCACGAUAAAUACAAGGAAAUGAUAUGAUGUGUAAUCGGUGACAAUUAGUGGGGAAUUUUAAUUAUUCUUGAAGCCAAAUGGUUAUUAGUGUUAUCAAAUUUUGUGGUGAUUUAAGGCCACUUUAAUGGGAUGAUAAUAGAAAUCAUGAUGAUGUAUAUUUAUGCUAUAUGAUAAGGUGGAAGACAAAAUGAUAAUUUGUUGAUUGAUAGAAGACAAUGUGUUAUUGUGUACUUUAAGCAUCAAGGAAAUUAACGAUAAUUUCAAUUAUUUAUGAGUAGUUUGAUUACAAGGAAUGUUAGAAUAAUAGGGAUGAACUUCACAAUGUUUACCUAUUAGGGAGUGAUUUGUUUAUUUAAAAACAGAAUUAAUUGGAUAUGUGCAUUUAGGUAUGUUUAUGCGAAAAAAAAAAUUGAAAUUGAGAAUGGUAGAAUCGAAGUUUGUUGAGAUUGGGAAAUUAACAUGCGGUAUAUUGAUAUGUGAAAUGUUCAAGUGAUAAAUAUGAAGGUUAUCAUCUUGUGAUAUUAAGGGAAAUUUAUAUAAUUAAAUGUUUUAGGUCAUACAAUAUGACGAUAAAUGCUAAGGUUACAAGAUCAUAACAUGAUAUGGUGAAUAGCAUGAAAAUGAAUGUAAUGGUUGUCCUAUAGCAAAGUAAUAUGAUGAUUUAUUUGGGUUAUUUAAGUUAACGAAUUUUGUUAGGGCCAUUUGUUGAUUAUUGUGUUACAUUUCAUACAAUUUGGAAGCGUUGAGUUAAAUUUUGAAGUUAAGAUGAAUUUAUUGAAAUGUUAGUUAUGUAAAUUUUGGGCUAUUUUUAAUUGUAUUUUGGAUCAUGAACAAAGUAUUCAAUUUUUGUCAAAAUAAAUUUGUUAAGGAAUAUAAGUAAGACAUGUUAGCUAUGUCUAAAGUUUAAGAUGAUCAUCAAAUAUAGAUUUUACUCAUUGUGAAAUAGUAUCUUUUGGUUACAUUAUCUUAAUUAAAGGUCUUUAUGUGAUAUACAAAAAAGAUUAUGCAUUGACGAUAGAUCAACAAUCUAUUUAUGAAAUAAGAGUAUAGAUUUUCAUGGAUCAAAUGUUAUUAUUGUCUCUUUAUAAAAAGAAAGAACAAAAUUUGUAUGUGUAUAGAAAUGUCAAAAGUUUUGCUAUCAGGAAAUAUUGAAAAAAUAUUUGCUCUUAUAUUUAAAGAUGAUAAGCGAUUGAUUCACGAUAAUGAUUUAUGUUAUGGUUUAGAAAUUGUUUUCUAAGUGGAACGAUAAAAUAUGGAUUAUGUUGUAGAUUGAUAAAGAGAUAUAAUUAAAUCAUGAUAUAUGGUUGAUUAUAUUGGGAUUGACAUUUAGGAAUUGUGGCAUUAUCACAUGGUGGGAAGACCAAUACUUACGGACCACAUGAGUUUAAGGAAUAUUUAUAUUCAAAAAGGAGCUGAACUUAAAGCUAUGUAUAUAUUAUCGUUAGGUGAUAAAAUGAAAAGUUAAAAAUAUCACAUAUUUAUAUUAGGAUGAUAUUUAAGGUAUCGGUUCAACAUGUAUUUCAUAUGUUCGGUGGUUAGUAAAUGGACGUCAGAUUUAACUAAUGCUAUAAGAUCAUCAGUGGAGUUGGUUGAAAAUCUUACAUAUGAAGAAAAAUCAAUUCGGAUCUUGGAUAGGAAAUGAAUAGAUUUUGUGCAGAAAGUCUAUUCCACUAGUUAAAGUUUGUUUGGAAAAAAAAAAAAUAGAGGCUUCAUGGGGCAAGUAUUCAAAUAUAUGCUCUAUAUCUUUGUGUUCGAAUCCUAAUUGAUUGAAUUUCGAGGAUGAAAUUUUUUGAAGGGGGUAAGAUUGUUAUAACCCACUCACUCAUAGUCAAAGUCAAGAAAAUUAUUUAGUCAAAGUCUAAAAUUCAAUUGGUCAAAGUCAAUGUCAAAUAGGGACUUAAAUGAAAUAAAUUAUUUUAUUGGGGUUUAAUUUAUUAUGAAAAAUAGUUAAAGGUUUAAAAUGGAUAAAACUUAAUUUUAGGGAUCUACUUAUAUAUUAUUGGAAGUAAAGGACUAGAUGUUAUAUUAAAUUGAAGAAUAAGGACUUUCCAUGCAAAAAUGGGUUGUGGAGUACAUGUGGCAAGUAAUUAACCCAUUACUAUUUUCAUAUGAUAUAUACAUACAGAGAGGUAAGGCUGGAGAUGGGCAGAAGCAAGAAAAACCGAGAAAGAGAGAAGGAAAAGGGGGGAGAGAGAGAGAGAGAGAGAGAGAGAAGAAGAAGAAGAAGAAGAAGAAGAAGAAGAAGAAGUGGGUCUUCAAGCUUGGAUUCUCCAUUUCUUCAUUGAUUUAGAGAGGUGGGUGUAAGUAGGAUGAGUUAUCUUUUUGAGUUUAUGGAAAUUUUCUAAAAUUUAAGGUUUAGCAAAAUUAAUGAUUGUUGAUAUAUGUUUGAGACAUUAAAAACAACAAUAAUAUUAGUGUUUAAAGGAAGGAAAAGUGAAAUGGGUUUGUAAAUUAGAGUUCCAAUCUUUGAAUUAUUGUCUUUACACUUAAUUUAUGAUGAAUUAGAGUGGUAAAAAAAAAAAAAAAAAAAUUAGGUUAGAUUUUGGUAUUUAUAAUAAAUUAUCGAGCAAAAUUCAUGUGCAGGUGCUAUUCAUGAAAUUCUGCCCAGAGAAGUGUCAUUUCUGUCAAUGGUUUUGAUGCCAAAUUUCAAUAUGCAGAAAUUGGUGCCAGGUUUCAAUAUUUUGGGAUUUUAGUGCUGUUUUUGACAAAACUCUUAUUUUUCAGAUUUUUAAAGGCUUCAAUGAAGUUAUAUGACAAGUAUUGAGGUUCAUGUAUUGGAAUAAAUUAUGUAUAGGGCUUGUAUAUGUAUAAGUUAAUGAUUUUAAGGAAGUGUGGGUAAUUUAAUAGAUUUGAUAAUGCAUGGUGUUUAGUCGAUGAAUUAAUAAAGAGAAUAAAAGUUGGGGAUUGGAGAUGUAAGAGUAAAUAUAGAAGCUGAGGAGUUAAGUGGUGGAAUUGUAUUGAUUUAAUUGUUAAGUUUCAAUUUGAGUAAUUAUUAUUCCGUUAUUCAGGUAGUGACGUGAAAACUUGAAAAGACUCGUCAAUUUAGUCAGAUUUCUAUCCAUAAAUUUGUGAAUGGAAAAAAUAUAAAUAUUUUUAAAGUAUCUAUAAAUUAAGUAUAUUGUUAAAGUAUGUGCAAUUAUGUUCUCGAAUUAUAUGUUUAUUAUGGAAAUAUCUUUUAUUAUGAUAUAUGUGAGAUUUUAAAGAUUGUAUACGGUACAUUGUGAAUUGGAAUAUGAGACAUGAUUUUGAGAUCGAUCAAAAAAUUACCCGUGAUUAUAUAUUUCUUCUAGUUCACUAAAAGGUCUUGGCCGUGUUCUAUACUACAUCGAGGGGUCUUGAACCGAGGAUGAAGGGGUCUCGACCGUGUACAUAUAGUUCACUGAAGGGCCUUGACCGUGUUCUAAAAUUGAUUAUGAGAUGUCUUUGAAACCAGCUUUCUUUCACGGAGGGGGCCAAAGGCCCGUGGUGAAAGUUCUUAACCUGAGGGGCGGAUUACAUAUUUCAGUCAGAGGGUACAUUUUUGGUGGAUUUUUCAGUAUGUUUGAUGUGAUGAGAUUAUAGCGUGGUUAUCAGCUGAUAUUUAUAUCAUGAUUUUGAGAUGAUAUUUUACGACCUUAUGUGAAUAUUUCACCUUUGGUUAUAAUUACAUGAUGUUAUCUUGUGAAAUAUUAAAUGAUAUAAACUCGAUUUUCGAUAGAAAUGUAAAAUUGAAAAAGUAUAAUUAUUUUCGAACUUCUCCACUCACUGAACUAUCAACUCAUAUAUUUUUCCACGAUUUUUUCUACAGGUAGCAAUUGAUUCUUUUUAGCUGGAAGAGCCUAAUAAUUUCGGAAUGAGAGCCACACGGCAUGUUGAAUAUUAUAACUCAUAUUGAUGAAACAUGAAGUAAAUAUUUUGAGCCCAUCGCAUUAUAUUUUACAUAAGUAUUUUAUUUUGUUGCAUUUUUUGAAGUAACUCAUGUUAGCCUUGGUGAUAGAUUUGACAUCUAGUCAGCAUCUAUCAUCGGUGCACGUCUCAUCUCGGGUCCACUAGGGUGAUUCGGGACGGGUCAUGUCACUAAAGGACAGUAUUUAGAAAUGGAUCAUUGCAUGGAUCGUGAUAUCCCAUUUGCUGAAGAUUGGAUAAAAGUUAGAGAUAUUUGUAAACUUGUUCAAAAUGUAUAUGAUGUUGCUGAAGUUCUUUUCAAGACAAAACAUGAUAGUGCAGGCAUCUAUGUUCACAAAUUUCAAGAAUUACAAGCAAGUUUUAUAGAAGAAUCCAGAAAUUCAGAUAAAUUUGUUAGAAUCAUAGCUCGGAAGACGCUAAAGAAGUUUGAGAAGUACUGGAAGAACAUGUUCCUUGUACUAACCGUUGUUACGGUUUUGAAGCCUCAAUAUAAAAUUAAGUAUAUUGAAUUUUCUUCCUUGAAGUAUGAUACUAGUUCUAGUAUAUCAGAAGUGACAACCAUUUCAAAGUCCAUUCACUCACCUUAUGAUGAUUAUGUUACUAGCAAAACCAGAUAAGAAUAUACAUCAAAGAAAGAUGCAUACACCCAAAUGUUGGUUUUAAUUGUUGAGAUGAGUAUAACCAGUUUAUCCAAUCUAAUAGUCAAUCUCGAUCCCUAGGUAAGAGCUUGAAUGCUACUUGGAAGAACCUGUCGUGCCUUGGAGCAAAAAUUUCAGAGUGCUGUCAUGGUGGCAAUCUGUGAGCCCCAAAUAUCCUACCAUGUCCAAAAUGGCUCGUGAAUCUCUGCACAUAAAAUGUUGAUAUUUCAUGUCCAAAAGAACAAAAGAUCCAAAGAUUAUUGAGCCAAUGCAUGGAGGAAAUGUUGAUAUUCCAUGUCCAAAAGAACAAAAGAUUCAAAAAUUAUUGAGCCAAUGGAUGGACGAAGAAUGGUUGGGGAAAAAUGAGGAGUAAUUUUGGGACGGAGAAUACAUUAUUAUUAUUAUUAUUAUUAUUAUUAUUAUUAUUAUUAUUAUUAUUAUUAUUAUUUUCAUUUUUAGUUCUUUUUGGGGUUAAGACUAUAAUUGUAAAUUUGUUAUGGCAUUUUUAUUGGAAACGUGUUAUUAUUGUGGUGGUGUUAUAAUGUGUGUAGCAAGUAAAAUUUGUGGUGGCAAUAUAAUUACCCUAAUGUUAAUUGUUACUUUUGAUCCCAUCUUUUUAAUCUUUUUCAAACAAGCAUUUGCCUAAUUUUUUUAAUUAAUUAGACAAAUAGUCAAGUUGAAUAUGGUCUUUACUAUUAAAAAAAUGUAAAUAAACAAUAAUUAUUUUUCAUAAGACUAAAUUCUCCAACUCAUAAAAGGAAUGGCAAUACGACAGGUGAUUUUCCUUGUCUUUUGUCGCGUUGGAUAUUCUUGGGUAGAGGAUAGGAAAUUAGGAAUAGGGAAUUUGCUACUCUAUUUACUCAAUUUUCUAAUAUCAAAUUUCAAAUAUGAUUUAAGUUUAAAAAUAUACAUAUACAUAUAAAACUAAGAGUCUGAACAAGUAUGAAGUGAGUAAAAUGUUCUCAGUCCCUAUAUCGAUUUUCUAUUCGGUGGGACGUAACAAGACAUUUGCUGUCUUUGCCUAUAAAGAGCUUUUUAUAUUCUAAAAAAAAAAGUCAUUUCCUCAUUGACAUUUAAAAGUAAAUAAGAUUAUUCAUAGUUGCUUACUAUUAGUAAUUGCUUUACGUGAAAGUUUGUUAUUUGAGACAUUAAUUUUCUAUAAUUUUAUUUCGUAAAACCAACCUUUCAUUCUUUAGCAGAGCUCUCUCUCUCCACCAUUUCAUUCAAUUUGAUAAUAAACUCAUCCUUGGAGGGGGUUAAAAUUAAAUUUUUAGUUUAAUUUUGAUAAAAAUUGAUGUUUUGAGCUCAUUUUCAUCUUAUUUAUGGACAAUUUUUAAACGUUGCACAGUACAAAACCUUUAUCGUGGGGGAUCUAUACCCUAGGCUGGCAGCUUUGUUUCUUUAUUUCUUAUUUCUGAUACCCAAUUGACGAUGAUUAGUUAAAGUGAACUUGGAAAAGUAAAGAAACAAUGCAUGGCUUUUGUUUGGAGCAAUUCGCGUUCACAUUUCAAGAUAGGGGUAAAAUUGGAAGUUGGCCAUAUAUAUGCAUAACACCAUUUGGACUAGCUUUCACAUGGUGGGCCACGUGAUGUGAUAGAAGAAUGCAUUUUUUUCACAAUAAUGGCGUCCAAACGUUAGCUUUCACAUGGUGGGCCACGUGAUGUGAUAGAAGAAUGCAUUUUAAUGAUGCCCACACGUCAAUAAUGGCGCCCAAACGUCCAUUAUUGUAGAAAAAAAUGGAUUCUUCUAUCACAUCACAUGGUCCACCAUGUGAAAGCUAACGUUUGGGCGCCAUUAUUGUGGAAAAAAUGCACGUUUGGGUGCCAUUAUUGUGGAAAAAAUGCAUUCUUCUAUCACAUCAUGUGGCCCACCAUGUGAAAGCUAGUCUAAAUGGUGUUAUGCAUAUAUAUGGUCAACUUCCAAGUUUAAAAAAAGGUUAAACCUCAACCUUGAGGGGCUUCACUGCCUCGCCCUUGGAGUAUCGUGAGGAAGGUAAAUUGCGGGAUGUGCCCCAACAGGUCAGGGAACAAGAGCUUGUCCGUACACUGGUGCUCACAAGGAAUCCGAUUCCACAUAUCAGGAAUCGACCCCUUACACUGCGGCUGCCAACAAAGUUGAGACUAUCUCACUUCUAUCUUUUGCACCACUGAGUUAUGCCCCGGGGGCGUCAACUUCCAAGUUUACCCCUAUCUUGAAAUGUGAACACGUAUUGUUCCAAACAAAAGCUAUGCAUUUUUUACUUUUCCAAUGAACCAAGUUUCCAUUAUUGAGGAUAGAGUGUUGUAAAGCUCAUAUAAAGCAAAUGUCGAUAAGAGGGAAUUAAAAUUUUAGAGGGUAUUUGGUGGGGAUAAAAAUUAGAUUUUUUAGUAGAUUGUGAUAGAAGUUGUUAAAAUGUGUAGUUGAAAAUUUGUGGAACCUAUAAAAGAUGUGAUUAGUGUUGAUUGUUUGACUUUAACUUAGAUUAAAAUCAGAUUUUAAUCCAAAUCAAAUAGUCUGUUAAAUCCUUGUCAAAGUCAAAGUCAAUAAUUCAUUUAAAUCACGUAUUUUAAGACAUUCAUAAGUUUUUAAUCAUAUACUGUAUCAAUUUUUAUCAAAAUUUAUUAAAAAUUUAAUUUUAACUUGUAACAUCACAUUUCUCUUUUCCUAAUUUUUGCGAAUAUGAUAUUGCCUAAUGAUAUAUUUAAUGCUUAUUAUUAAUUUAUUGUCAAUGAGACUACUAAUAUAUUGUAGUGGAUUAUACCUUGAACGUCCUAGGUGAUUGACAUGACAAUUAAAGUUAAUUAUAUGAAAAUCUAGGAAAGGAAAGCAAAUGUAAAUAGAUGAAGAAAGAGGACUAGUAAUUAUUGAGGAGAGUGUGCUAUACAGCUCAUAUAAAGCAAAUGUCAGUAAUGGGGAAUUAAAAUUUAAAUAUUUACCAAAGUCGGAGUCAAUAAUUGAUUUAAAUCAAGUACUUUAUGAUAUUCAUAACUUUUCAAAUAUGUUAUUGAGUUGUGAAUAUCACAGAAGAAUGCAUUUUUGGAAAAAGUUUUGUCUGAUUUGAUGAGCUUUUUUGAAGGAAAAUGAUAACUUUUUUACAAGGAGUAGAAGUCUUGUCAAACCGGCGUUAAGUAUAAGAUCUACUAAUUAAGUUGAGUGAGGAUUAGUUUGUUCUACUCAAAUGUGCUUUUUACAAUAAAAAAUGAACCAAAGUAGAUCAAGAUAAAUUGAUCUAUAAACAGCUUCUCUAAUCUUAAAAAAAUCGAGUCAUUUUUACAUUGACAUUCAGUGCUUGUUUGGGAAAGUUAAACAGUUGAUUUUGUUAAAAGAAGUGGAAGAUCUUUUGAAAUUAGUGGUGGAAAAGCGAGUAAUACUAGUGGAUUUUAUGUAAUGUAAGAUUAAUAUAAAGGGUGGUUAUAUUAUCACCACAAUAAGUGUUUGGUACCCUAUAAUUUUCUUAUUUAUUUUAAAAAAUUACUAGUAAAAUGACAUAAGUACCCUAUCUUUUAUUCACUAAUAUAUUUAUUCAUACGAUCACUACCAUCCGUACACAAAAAAUACAUAACUCUACUUAAAGAUACAAAUGCCAAGAUCAAAAGAUCCAAGACUCACUAAUAUAUUUAUUCAUACGAUCACUACCAUCAGUACACAAAAAAUACAUAACUCCUACUUAAAGAUACAAAUGCCAAGAUCAAAAGAUCCAAGAUUGAAGAAAAGAACAAGAAAUUUUAGGAUAUGACAUAGGCAUUUUGGAAUAUUGAAUGUAUUAUUUUAAAAGUUCGCUAUAUUCUUCUUGGAAACUCGUCGUUAUUGUGGAAUAUGCCAUUAUACAACCUGCAAAAGGUAUUGGAUUUGGAGGCUAAAGGACGGUAUUUAGAAAUGGAUCAAUGCAAGGAUCGUGAUAUCUCAUUUGCUGAAGACUGGAAAAAAGUAAGAGAUAUUUGUAAACUUGUCCAAAAUGUAUAUGAUGUUGCUGAUUUUUUUUCGAGACAAAACAUGCUAGUGCGGGCAUCUAUGUUCAUAAAUUUCAAGAAUUACAAGCAAGUUUGAUAGAAGAAUCUAGAAAUUCAGAUAAAUUUGUUAGAAUCAUAGCUCGGAGGACGCUAAAGAAGUUUGAGAAGUACUGGAAGAACAUGUUCCUUGUACUAACCGUUGUUACAGUUUUGGAUCCGCAAUAUAAAAUGAAGUAUAUUGAAUUUUCUUCCUUGAAGUAUGAUACUAGUUAUAGUAUCUCGGAAGUGACAGCCAUUUCAAAGUCCAUUCACUAGCCUUAUGAUGAUUAUGUUACUAGUAAAACUAGAGAAGAAUAUUCUAUGAGUGAUUCGAAUUCUGAGUUUGAAGAAGAGAUUCCUACAAACAUCAAAGAAAGAUGCCAACUCCCAAACUUUGGUUUUAAUUGCUUAGAUGAGUAUAAACAGUUUAUCCAAUCUGAUAGUCGAUCUCGACCAUUAGAUAAAAGCUUGAAUGCUACUUGGAAGAACCUGUCGUGCCUUGGAGCAAAAAUUUCAGCGUGCUAUCUUGAUGGCAAUAUGUGAGCCCCAAAUAUCCUACCUUGUCCAAAAUGGCUCGUGGAUCUUUGCACAUAAAAUGUUGAUAUUUCAUGUCCAAAAAAUAAUUGAGCCAAUGGAUGAAGGAAAUUGAUGAGGAAGAAUGGAUGGGGGAAAAUGAGGAGUAAUUUUGGGAAGGAGAGUACAUUGUUAUUAUUAUUAUUUUUUUUUUUUUUCAUUUUCAGUUUUUAUUGGGUUAAGGCUAUAAUUAUAAAUUUGUUAUGGUAUUUUUAUUAGAAACAUGUUGUUUUGAUGUGUGUAGCAAGUAAAAUUUGUGGUGGCAAUAGAAUUGCCUUAGCAUUAAUUGUUACUUUUGAUCCCGACUUUUUAAUCUUUUUCAAACAAGCAUUUGCUCAAUUUUUUGAAGAACUAGACAAAUAGUCAAGUUGAAUAUGGUCUUUACAAUUGAAAAAAUGUAAAUAAAUAAUAAUUAUUUUUAUAAGAUUAAAUUCUCCAACUCAUAAAAUGAUUUCAAUACGGCAGGCGGUUUUCAUUGUCUUUUGUCGCGUUGAAUUUUCUUUGGUAGAGGGUAGGAAAUUAGGAAUAGGGAAUUCGUUACUCUAUUUACCCAAUUUUCUAAUAUAAUUUUUAAAUACAAUUAAAGUUUAAAAACAUAUAUAUGCAUAUAAAAAUAAAAGCCUGAACAAGUAUGAAGUAAUAACUUGUUCUCAAUUCCUAUAUCGAUUUUCUAUUCGCAUGGAACAAAACAUUUGCUGUCUUUGCCCAUAAAGAGCUUUAUACUCUAAAAAAAAUCUCAUUUCCACAUUGACAUUUAAAAGUAAAUAAUAUUAUUCAUAGUUGUUCACUAUCAAUUAAUUUUCUAUAAUUUUAUUUCUUAAAACCAACAGUUCAUUCUUUAGCAAAGUUUUUUCUCUUUCGACCAUUUCAUGCAAUUUGACAAUAAACUCAUACUUGGAGGGGUUAAAAUUAAUUUUUUUUAGCAAAUUUUGGUAAAAAUGGACUUUUGGAGCUCACUUUCAUCUUAUUUAUAGACAACUUUUGACAUUGCACAGUACAAAACUCUUUCUUUAUUCCUGCUCGACACUAAAUUGAGAAAAAAAAAUACAAUACUUUUGUUAGAGAUGCUACUGUGACGGUGACAGUGACAGUGGCCAAUUUGACGCCCUCCUAUGGCCCUCGGCCAGAAUUAUUCUUACAGCGUUUGUGAUAGAAUUCACUUUUUCCACAAUAAUUCGCCUGACAUAAUAUUAAUAUGUUAUUAAAAAGUAUAAAAUAUCAUAAAAAAAUUUAGGCCCUGUUUAUGGUCUUUUUUUAAUUUAAAAAAUUAAAUUAUAGAAUAGUGAUUGAUGUUGAAAUGUGUGGUUAAAAAAAAGAAAUUUUUUUUAACUUUUGAGUAAUACUAUUUUAAUAAAAAAUGUGUGAUUAAAAAUAAGUAAAAAAUAUAAUAUGAUAAAAUAUGAAAGAAUAAUUGACAAACAAUGGCUUAAUCGAACAUUUGCUUUAUAUGAGCAGUACAACACACAUCUCAAUAAUUACUAGUCUUCUUCUUCAUACGUUUGCAUUUCCUUCCCUUUUCUGGGUUUUCAUUUGAUUUUCAGAUCUACAACCUCCAUUUCCAUGGCUUCAAAGCUAUGAGCUAAUCUAAAUUUUCUGUUUUUGCUUCAGUGGUAGCGUCUAUUAUGCUUUGAACAAAAAAUUUAGAGGGUAGACAACGUUCACUUUCACCAUCUUUCUCUUUCCCUGAAAUUCGACCAUCUUUUCCUUUUUUUGCAAUGGAUGUCUUACACACUGAUCUGUUUACUGCUCCUAUAGAUCUCCUUCAAAUUGUGAUCGAACACAUAUCAUCUGUCUCCUCCCCAGAUGGACAUAGAAUUGAUUUGUUACGUCUGCUUCAAUCUUUACGAGACAGCAGAGACUAUGAAAAUAUUGAAGGAAUCAGAAAUUUUUUCCGAGAAUUUGUGUCGCUUCAGCAAGAGCUUAAGGUGUCCUUUACAGUUCCUAACCGGCAAAUCUUGUCCAAUUUAACUCCUACUCCCAAUUCUAAUGAAGUUGUUGCGGCCUUCAUCAACUUUCUCCUCCUAAUGGUCCAAGUCAUCCUACAUUUUAAGGAAGAUUGGAUUGCUCGUGUAAAGGGUUCGUUCCAAAAUCUCCGGACAGAGCUUGGAUUUCUUAUCAGCUUUCUUGGGGAUACAACAAUGCAUUUGCAGCCCACCAAGACUCUAUUGAUAGAUGUUGAAGAAGUGGUCAACGGGGUAGGAAGUUUCUUGUCUUCCUUCUUUUUGACCAUUGUUGUAUUUAUUCUGAUCAAUAAAGUGAAAAAAGCCCAUACUAGAAUGCCGGAUUUGGGAGUUGUGGUUAAUGAGGUAAGAAGUCUCAUUCUUGAGGAUAUACCAUUGCUAACCACUAAGUUGAAAGCAACGAUAGAUAUUAAAGACCUGCUCCGUGAGAUAGGAAGUUUAUUAGAUUUCUUCAUUUUCACAAAGAAUGAUCAAGUUGUGGAGACAGGAAUCUUGGAUCUUGCUCUUUCUGAUUUGUUAGCAAAUUUUGAGACCUUGAAAACAAAGAUCAAGGAGCACUGCAUCGCAGUCUCAAAGAUGCCAAGUGAUAUGGCUCCAAAGACUGGUGUGGUUUCACUCUUCAUUGUUGAUUCCGUCCUCGACGAUCUCAUGGAUCUGAUAAAUAACAAGUCUGACUCAAUUGUUGUUGUGAAUGAUCAAAUUGUAACGCUCCACGAGGAGCUAAUGUUAUUGGGAUCAUCCAUCACAGAUAUAGCAUUGCAGCACGAAGCAGAACAUGAAGAACUUGUGAUACGGAGCAGAGACAUAGCAUAUGAAAUUGAAUAUGUUAUCAACUCAUUACCUCAUGUUUGGUAUCUUUCUCUCCGACUCCCUCAACUCAUUGUCAAGAUUCGGCUUAUUAUGAUAGCUGUCAAAGAAACGAAGAACAAUGUUGAUGUAGUUAGAAUGUCAAUUGUUUCAAAACAUCCGCAUGAGCUGGUAGAGUCAGAGUCAAAAGAACCUCCCAUUUUGGAAGACGUUGUUGUGGGAUUUGACAAUGUACAAACUGAAAUUGUAGAACAACUUGUUCGAGGAACAGACAAGCGACAAAUUAUUUCCAUCUUUGGGAUGCCUGGACUUGGUAAGACGACCUUGGCAACUAAAUUAUAUAAUCAUCACCAUGUUUUAUACCGUUUUCACAAUCGUGCCUGGUGUACUGUUUCUCAAAUAUAUAAUAAGAAAAAUGUGUUGAUUGAAAUUUUGAGCUCAAUGAGUAACAGUAAGGGGGAUACAUACAUGGAAGAGGAGGAAGAAAGCUUGGUUGAAGAUCUUUACAAAAACUUAAAAGGAAGGCGAUACCCCUUUAGUAACAGUAAGAGGGAUACAUACAUGGAAAAGAAGGAAGAAAACUUGGUUGAAGAUCUUUACAAAAACUUAAAAGGAAGGCGAUACCUCAUUGUGGUAGAUGAUAUAUGGGAUAUCGAUGUGUGGAAUGAUUUGAAAAGAUGUUUUCCAGAUGACAGUAUUGGAAGCAGAAUCUUAUUCACUACUCGAAUUAAAGAAGUGGGUUCGAAAGCUUCACCUUGUAGUGUAAAG